Molecule: long non-coding RNA, 55955 nt
Filed under: Populus trichocarpa (black cottonwood)
Lineage: Eukaryota; Viridiplantae; Streptophyta; Magnoliopsida; Malpighiales; Salicaceae
Description: long non-coding RNA (PTRI_LNC002756)
Source: RNAcentral
ACCAUGUAGUAUCAUUUUCUCUUUUGAUGCAUGUUACAGGUUACCAUGAUUUUGAAUGAAGUUCUUAGGUUAUACCCGCCAGUAAUUAUGCUUAAUCGAGAUGUUCAUGAAGAAAUAAAGCUUGGAAAUUUGCUAUUACCUGCCGGAGUGCAGAUCUCGUUGCCAACAAUCCUCCUUCACCAAGAUCAUGAACUAUGGGGUGAUGAUGCCUCUGAGUUCAAACCAGAGAGGUUUGCUGAAGGUGUUUCAAAGGCAACAAAGAGUCAAGUCUCAUUCCUUCCAUUUGGAUGGGGUCCUCGAAUAUGCGUUGGACAAAACUUUGCUUUGAUUGAAGCAAAAAUGGCUUUGGCAAUGGUUUUACAGCGCUACUCUUUUGAGCUCUCUCCGUCGUAUAUUCAUGCUCCUCGCACAGUCAUAACUCUUCAGCCACAGCACGGUGCUCCAAUGAUAUUACGUAAACUCUAAAAUGUUUAUAUGUGACGGGUAAGAGUUAUCCCAGGGUAUAAAGUAGGUUGGAUCUCCCACUAAACCAAACCAAAAACAAAGCCUCUAGUUUAUGAUGUUAUGUGCAAAUUAUGUUAUAAUGUCCAAUGACAUAUUUCUCAUAUUAAUCACAACAUUAUAGUACCGUGGGUUGUUUUGAGUGUUUUGAAUUUUUUUUAUGAGCCAUUGAUCAGUAAAAGAUUAUUUGGGGUGUAUUUUUUUUUCCAUGGUGAAAAGACUUUUUUAUUUCUAAAUUCAACAAAACUUGUUGACUAAAGGGUUUUUAGAUAGUAAAAAUAUUUAAAAUAUUUCUUUACCCUAGGAUCAAAAAGUUAUUAGGUUAUUGAACAAUAGGUUUUUUUGUUUUUCCAUUAUUCAUAUGUAGUAAAAGUACAUUUUUAGCCCUAGAUAAGACAAAAAAUCAGGUUUUUAUUUAGAGGUAUUUUUAUAUUUUCGCAUGGCUUUUAGAUAAUUACAAAGGUUAUAAGAGUUUUUUAAUAUUUUUAAGUUGAGUUUUUAAUUUUUUAAUCAAAAAAGUUAUUGGUGUAUGGUAAGCACGUCAACAUACAUAGAUGAUGUCGGCAUCAUUCAAACAAUAAUGAUAGAUAAACUUGGCAUUCCAUGGCAUAUAAUAAUUAAAUUGUCGCUAGUAUUAGGGUUAGAUUGCUAAUGUAAAAAAAUACAUGUAACUGAAACUAAAGUAAUGAUCGUAUCAGUUUAUAUGGUCAUAUGUAAAAAAGAGUACAAUUUUUAUAUUUGGCUCGCUUACUAAAUGACUGGCUCAGUUAAACUAAUCGGAAGAAGGGUAGUAACUGAAUAUAUAUAUAAUUAGCUGACAUCACAGCUCAAUGGCUUAGAAGAAAUCUAGAAUGAGUCUCCAGCAGCUUCUCUUCUGCAGGGCUUGUCUGAAAUGCAGAAAAUAAUCCUGCCACCCAUAGAGGCUUGUUGCUUAGUAUUUCUCUUGUCUGCAGGACUGGCUCAGUUAAACUAAUCGGAAGGGUGUGACUUAUAGUUCCUUCAAGGUAUGGUUUAUGAUGCACUUGCUAUUAUUAUCAUUAUUAUUAUUAUUAUUAUUAUUAUUAUUAGAGGCCUUUGCCAAUUGAUGAAUUAACUGUGAAAGAAAAUUGAAUUAAGAAGUACAUUAUGGAGUAAAGAAAAAGGGUAGUAACUGAAUAUGGAAGCAGGUAAAAGUUCUUAUGCAGUGGCUCUCUUUUGUGAACUCAUCUUGUGCCAAAAUAACCUUGUUUACUUGUACUUAAUUACAGAUUCAGUGCUGAAUUUAAAUUUUUAUGCACUACCCCUUACGAAGCCCUUAAAAUACUGGAUAAAACUUACUUCAACCCGACUACUUCUGCCGUGGCUCUUGACACUAGAAAGACCAGAGCUGGUCACAUUCUCUUCCCACCAGCACCAAAUUUCUGCUCAGCUCCAGACAUCAAAACCGUAUUUUCUGCAGCAACAAUCUACCAGAGCAUCUUCAUCAGAAAUAUAAAAGGCUGGAUAUAAAGAACAAGAAAAAACUAUUCUGAUCCAGUGCAAAAAGGUACAUGACUCAUCAAUAUAGAGGGUAAUAGAUAAUAGAAAACACACAAGUAGAACAUGGAAGCAGGUAGAAGUUCUUAUGCAGUGGCCCUCUUUUGUGAACUCAUCUUGUGCCAAAAUAACCUUGUUUACUUGUACUUAAGUACAGAUUCAGUGCUGAAUUUAAAUUUUUACGCAUUACCGCUAUGCCAACUUAUAUCAACUCAGAACAUUUGUAGUGGUUUAUCAGCUAACCACUAGUUAAUAUAUUGGUAAAAGUUCAUUCUUCAUUGAUCUACUAGGACAUAUUCUACUGCAAGCAAACAUUGACUAUUCACCGAUUAAGCAUCAUCUUAACUGUCGUAUCACGGCGGCCUUAAAUAUAUCUUUGAAAAGAAUGAAUUUCUGGCAUCUUGUUAUUUUAGGGAAAAAUAUCUUGUUUAAGGAGUCGCUACCUAGUAUUAUGAUCACUAGGAACCCUAACUGGUCAACAGAGAUUCUAUGGUACGAGAUUGGUUACGUAAAAUGAAGAAAUUAUCACCUCUUAAACGUUCUGCCUGAGACAGACUGCAUUGCUGGUUUUGUCUUAAAUUGCUAAACAUUUAUUAGCAUAUGUUAUGAUGAUUUGUUUAUAAUAUUCCUGAAUCUGGCACUAGUGAAUAUUUGAUCUCGAAUACUUCCAACUUUGACGUUGGUAAAAAUUCCAGCUAAAAAAAAUCAGGAUAUUUUUUUAUUCCUAAUCCUGAUAUCAGUGAAUAAAUUGUUAAAAUACAUUUUUUCUAAGACGUGCAAAAUUUCUAUUUCUACACUUUCUAUUUUUUUAAUUUUUAAUUUUUUUAUUUUUUGGGGGUUGGGCUGGACUCAGCCAGCCCGACCCGGUCACUGGCCCAAGCCAGUGACCAGGCUGGGCUGAGCAACACGCGUGCGCUAACGCACGCGUGUUGCUACAAUGUGCAAGUGAAUUAAAAUUCACUUGCACAGAGCCAAUGGCAAGGUGCUUGACAGUGUGAUAACGGUUGCUUUUCAAAUAACUUUUUGUGCCGAAAUGCAUGCCAAUGAUGUUUUUUUAUUUUUAAAAAAUUAUUUUUGACACCAGCACAAGAAUCACUAGGGACUAUUUGCCUUAAACUAAAGGGAUGCAAUCGAGAGAGUGACACAAUGAUUUUCCUUUUAGUUCAGUGCAAGACCACAUUCCACCACUUUAAGGACGCAUGUGGAUACACGAUCACGGUGCCGUCCCGUCCUCCUAUCAUAGAUGUGUCAAAUUCCCAUUCCAAGGAGGAAGAACCAUAGUGAGAACAGAGAAAAACAUACCCAACCCCCGAGUACCACAUCAAAACAAUCCAAAUCAUAUUAAAUUUUAAUAAAAAAAAUUAAUUUUUUGGGCAAGAAGGAAAGGUUCGCUUACCUGGUCUGGGAGGCGAUGGUGAAGUUCCUUCUGUGUGAUUGAACCACGCUUGGCAGGGCACCUUUUCCACCUUUCCUUGCAUUUUUCUGGCCUUAUUUCUUCUGCUGCUAAUGACUCGGAGCAGAAACUUUAGGCUAAUGACCGAACUGAUUCUCUGUUUUCUUUUAUUUGCUUGCAUUUUAAGACCAAGGCAGGGCUAGAAACACUGAUCCCUGUUGUCUUCGAUCUCCUUUCCUUCCUCCUUUCUUUCUUGUUUCUGUGUUUUUUUUUUUUGUUUUGGUUCGUGCUUUAUUUCGUCCCUCUCUGUUUUUUUGUUCUCCCUCCUCCUUGUUCUCUCUGCCAGUUCCUCUUCCUUUUCUUUUUUAUUCCUCGUUUUUUUCUUUGUUCUUUUUUUACUCUCGAUCUCUCUCUCUAUUCCCGCGGUUCCCCCUCUGUUUUCUUCUUCCCCCCCUCUGUCCCCUCACGAGGUUGCCUUUACCUGGGUUUUUAUAGGGCUGGGAGAUCGAUCGGCGCUGUAACAGCCGACAGUAAUGGCGUGGGGCACUCCAUUCAAAGGAGAAACGUCCCUGCCUUUGAUGGCGGAGCCAUUGCAGAGGAAGAAAACAAGCGAACAGUCGCCCGCCCAAAACGACUCCGUUUUCCAAUUUCAAAAGCUGCUUUCAGUUUGGUCCUUGGAAUUCUUGUAAUUUUGCAAUCAAGCCUCUGGUUAAAAUGUAAUUGGAUCCUUGCAUUUCCGCGUCAUUUUCAAGCUAGUCCUUGGAUUUUAAUUUUUGCAAUUUGGACCCCAAUUAAACCCCAAACUUUGGUAUUUCUUCAAUUAAGUUCUUAAUUUCAUUAAUUAAAUUAAUUUCAAGGUCAAUUAAGUCUCAAAACUUAUUAAUUCUCCAAUUAAGCUCUUGAUUUGAUUAACAAAACUAAUCCAAAGUUUAAUUGAAUACCAAAACUUCCAAUCAUGUUACCCUUAACCCAAAUUUAAUUUAUUCUUCAUUUAUUUAUUUUUAUUUGUUUUUUUCAUUUUUUUUCUUUUUUGUUAUCAUUUUUUCAGGAAAUAAAAUAAUAAUAAUUAAAAUAAAAAAGAUCAAAAAUUGGAUUAUAACAGUUGCCCUCUCUUUAUAAUAUUUACAAUGCAAAGCUAUUGGAAAAUAUCAUUUUCUUUUAGCUUUGUGUAGUAAAUUUAUAAAGAAAAGUAGAUACAUAAAGAAUUUUUUCUUUUCUAGAGUCUUGAAAACUUCGAAAACAGUAGAUUGACAUAUGACUUUUACAGAGAGAUGUAGAAAUCAAGAAACAAGUCAUUUGGAAGACUACCUUUUUUUUUUUUUUGAAAUGGAUCAUUUUUUUUUGGGCAACCUGCCCAAUGAUAAAAGAACGCGAAGGGUUUCGCGGGUGGUCUAAAUGUUCCAAGCGACCUACCCGAUGAAGAAUAAAAAGCGAAAGAUUUUUUUUUAACAAAAAUAAAGAAAGGGUCUUAUUGGUGUCUUAUCCCCGAGAUGAGAGCUCAAAAUAACACUUGAAAGGAAGACGAUGACUCAAAGGCGCACUCGAAAAAAAAUGAGGACUCGAAACGUACUUAAAAAAGUGAGGGCUCGAAAGCGCACUCGAAAGAGGUGAGGGCUCGAAGGCGCACUCAAAAGAGAGGUAGGGUUAGGAAACGCACUAUCUUGGAUGGUCAAGGGCCCAAAGGCGCAUUUGAAAAGGAAGUGAGGGCUUGAAGCAUACUUAAAAAAGUGAGGGCUCGAAGGCGCACUCAAAAGAGAGGUGGGGUUAGGAAACGCACUACCUUGGAUGGUCAAGGGCUCAAAGGCGCACUUGAAAGAAAGUGAGGACUCGAAACGUACUUAAAAAAAGUGAGGGCUCGAAGGCGCACUCAAAAGAGAGGUAGGGUUAGGAAACACACUACCUUGGAUGGUCAAGGGCUCAAAGGCGCACUUGAAAAGGAAGACGAUAGGUCAAAGGCGCACUCGAAAGAAAGUGAGGACUUGAAACUUACUUAAAAAAAUGAGGGCUCGAAGGCGCACUCGAAAGAGGUGAGGGCUCGAAGGCGCACUAAAAAGAGAGAUAGGGUUAGGAAACGCACUACCUUUGAUGGUCAAGGGCUCAAAGGCACACUUGAAAAAGAAGACGAUGGUUCAAAGGCGCACUCGAAAGAAAGUGAGGACUCGAAACGUAAUUAAAAAAAGUGAGGGCUCGAAGGCGCACUCGAAAGAGGUGAGGGCUCAAAGGCACACUCAAAAGAGGUGAGGGCUCGAAGGCACACUCAAAAGAGGUGAGGGCUCGAAGGCGCACUCAAAAGAGAGGUAGAGUUAGGAAACACACUACCUUGGAUGGUCGAGGGCUCGAAGGCGCAGUCGAAAAGGAAGUGAGGGCUUGAAGUCGCUCUCGAAAGGGAGGUAGGGUUAGGAAACGCACUACCUUGGAUGGUCAAGGGCUCAAAGACGCACUAAAAAAGAGGUGAAGGCUUGAAGGCUCAUUUGAAAGGAGAUGAAGGCUCGAAGGGGCACUUGAAAUGAGGUAGGGUUAGGAAACAUAUUACCUUAGAUGGUCGAGGGCUCGAAGGCGCACUCGAAAAGGAAGCGAGGGCUUAAAGGCGCUCUCGAAAGGGAGGUAAGGUUAGGAAACACACUACCUCGAGAAUGGAAAAUGAAAAGUGGUGGAAAAAUAUAGAGAUUUUUUCAGGUGGCCUAAUUCUCAUGGGCGGCCUGCCCAACAAUUUCAAUCUUGGCCAUUUCAAGGUGGCCUUCCAUUUGAUGGAUCCUGAUAGAAAUUUGCAAAACUUAUUGCCCAUUGUUUCAAAGUUUAGAUGAUAUGCAUGCAUCUUUACCUGUUUUGAAAUAUAGGCCCCCCAUUUUUUCUUGAUCUUCUUGUUACUUUGAUUGAUGAGGACUUGUUAUCUUUUAUUUGGGUCAUCUUCAUCAUUUGACUUCUAGUCCACUCGAGUUGGCCCAUGUAAAUCUUUUUCCAAAUUUGUUUACACAACUCAGCCUUCAUGAUGCCCAUCAUGACCCACUAUCUUGCUAGAGAUUUUCUGUCUCGCCAUAUAAUUUGAGAGGAUCAUUCAUUACCCUAGUGUCACUACUACAAACAUUCGGUGUCAAUUGCUGAAAGGAUCAAACUGUUUUUCGUAAACCAAAAUGCCCCCUUGUCUUGUUGUAGGGGAUGCUCCUCUUUUUUUCCUAGAAGGGAUCGAUUCUCUUUCUAAACACAAUGUUGCCCCCUUGUACUGAUCAUUGCCCCCAAGUGUGCUAUGUCAGUGACUUAGACAAAUAAUGGUUUUAAGAGGCCAUUCUCUCAUUUUUCUCCUUUUAGUUUGGUGAAGGAAUAUGGGUCUAAAAUGAAUCUUGAAAUCUUGAUCUUGCAUUUUGAAAACAAAAAUUAUUUCGAUGUGAGUCUAAAACAAUUUACUUUUGAAAUCUUGCAACUCCUUGGUUAUUUUUUUUCUUGGAAGAGAUUAUUUGCUCUUGUGUUUGGCAAUGAGGUCUCCGGUGAAAAUACAUCAUGAGGUGACCUUUUGUUUUUAUAGGUUUUCAAAGUGAAGGGCUCGAGAAAAAGCUCGAGGUUUUGCUUGAGAAAAACUUAUCUCUUUUUGAACACUUAUUUUUAUCAGCAUGAAUAAUAAUGAGUAGUUUGUUCUUGAUGUCAUGAAUCUUAUGAAAAAGUACUCUUUGCAUUUUGAGAGCAUUGUUUAUUGUUCUAGUUGCUUGCUUGCUUGAUUAGAAAGGACUUCUACAUGCACGUAAUGUAUGUUGUGGUUCUUGGCUACGAAAGAAAAGGAUUCAUAAGGCUCAAAGAGUGUUUCAGGGUUUCAAAGACUGAGGAUCACUAUCAGCAAUUCGACUCUUGAUGUCGUUCAUCUUUUCUUUUACCGCUCUUCUUUGAUUUGCCCUUUUUUUUCUUUUUUAUUGCUUUGCUAGGGCAUACUCAUUUUAUCUUGGAUGUCACUUUUUUUAGUGAUUUGGGCAUGCCCCCUAGCAUUUGAGUUUCUUGAGCUCUUAUACCUUUUUUGGCUUUCUCACAGCUUUUUCUCUUUUCUUAUUGAAAUUUUCUCUUGCCCCCUAGUGUGGGGUGUGAUCCUUGUCGGGAUUUUUUUCAUGAAAGAAAAAUUAUUUAGGCUAAAAAAGGGAUCGUAAGGGAUGUACUUAUUUCAGAACGUGAAAGGAAUAACAAAGAUGACCUUUCCUCAUUUCAAGCGCAAGUAGCUAUGAUCAAUAAACUUUGACCUCAUCCAGUGUGAUGGUUUGGUCUUUGCAAAGAUGCAUUUUAUGAGUCAUGAGCAACGAGUUCACUACAUAUCAUUAUUCAUACAUUUAAAAACACAUGAUUCAAGAGUCAUGGGGUAAGGGUGUUUAUUCAUUUCUUUUUUAUUUUUUCUUUUUUAUCCAAUAUUCUUUGGUUUAUAAUUUAGUCACCUCAAUGAUGGAGUUGCUUGAUUCAUGCGUCAUUCUACAAGUAGAAUGUCAAAAUUAUUGUUUUAAAUAAACAUCAAAUUAUUUUUGAAAUCAAAAUGCAAGUUCAAUUUUUCAAAACUCCAAUAGGGAAAGAGAUGAAUGGCGUCUAUAAGAUCACGUGAGGCUUCAAAUGUGUAUUUGUGAGUUCUUAUAAGAAAUCUCUCUCAGGAAAAUGAAUAAUACUUAGUCGUAAACACGAUUGAAUGACAAACUCAUUAUUUCAUUGAAGCUUUGGAAAAGAAGUUCAACAACAAAGAACUUAUAGCAACAUCUUGGGCUAUGAAUACUGGCAUGGUAACACAUAAAGGGGCUAAACAUUUAAUGAUCAUUGAUUGGAAUUUUUGGAAUUUUUCAAUCACUCAUUUUUCUCGACAAUGGCAUUUUUUCAACAGUUCGUUGAAAUCAUAUGCAGACCAUUCUUGACCUAAUAUCACCGUAACUGUUUCUUGAAGGUAGUUGAUUUCUAGGAGUCGGUAUGAAGAAAUUAACUAUAGGAAGGGUAGGUGCCUUGGCAACCAACUUCAGUGUUCCUCCCUUUUCCAGCCAAAACCGUUUUUCUCAAUCGGGUCAGCAAUCUUACCUAUCCUAAUGGCUUGUUCAAUCCUUUCAGUUAUAACGACCAGGUCAGUGAAAUGUUGCGCGAAGCUUCCAACCAAGUAUUCAAAGUACGGGGCCUUGAAAGUGUUGACAAACAAGUUGAUUAUCUCCUUUUCCAACAAAGGAGGAUUAACAUGUGCGGUAGCCUCACGCCAUCUUUAGGCGUAUUCCCUUAUGGACUCCUCGUUGUCCUUCUCCAUAGCUUGCAAGCUUAACCGAUCAGGUCCCACGUCUAUAUUGAACUUAUAUUGCCUUGUCAUAACCCAUUUUUGGGUUCUUCCAAAUUACAUUUUCUUUUUUUCAGAAAAAAACCUGAAAUAGUGCCGUUUUAACGGCACUGUUCUCCUUCUUCCCUGCGCAUGCAGAGGUAGGGAAGAAGAAGAUUUUAAAUCUUUUUUCCCCGCUAUUCUCCUUCUCUUUCCCCUCCCACUUGCCCACAAAACCCGGACACAAGCUAUCCUCCUUACCCUACCACCAUUAAUACAACCCAUGCCUUGCAGACAACCGGCCACCUUACCCUGCAGGGGUAAGGUAGCCUCGUUUCCCUCCCGCGUCUUGAUGGAACAAGGCAGGGGGGACUAUCUCUCCGCUUGGCUAUAAAUACAGAGAAGGGAGAAGACAAAAAAAAAAAGGGGAGGAAAAGAAAAAAAAGGAAACUAGAGGGGGCAAAAAAUUUAGGAAACGAACUUGAAGAAGAUAACCGAAUAGAGAGAAGGAAGCAGGGGAUUGUUUGAGAGAGGAACUGAGAUUGUUUUGAAAACAGGGUAGACGAACAGAGAGGGGAAGACUUGAACUGACGAGAGAAUAUAAAGAAAGAACAGAAAAACAAAAGAACAGGGGAGAAGAACAAUAACUCAUCUCUCUCUGGUUUCUCUCCCUCCACCGUUGGAAGCUGCGCCACCGUCAUUCUGCUUUGUCACCAGCAGCACCGCCAACGACAGCAGCUCCACCAUCGUCAGAGACCGAAGAAGGAGCAGCAGAAGCAAGAGCAAUAGGAGAACAGAAUACAGGGGACGAAAAAAACAGAUAACAGAGGAGAAUAGAAGAAUAGUAACCUCUCUCUCCGGCCUCUCUCUCUUCACCGUUGGAAGCAGCGCCGCCAAUAACAGCUGCCACCGUCCUCCCCGUCAUUGAUAACAGCCCCCGCAACGUGAGAAACGGAAGAAUAAACACCGAAAAAAACAGAAACAGAGGAGAACAGAGUAGAAGAAAAAAAAUGCAGAAAAGAAGAAGAAAGGCCGACCACCGUCCAAGCCGUUCUCCGAUCAGCAACCGCCAGCAGCACAGCCUCAAAGCCACCGCAGGUCCACCCCUUUUCCUUCUUCUUUUUCUUCUUCUUCUUCGCUGCACCGUCUCCACUAUUCACGUAGCAUGUGAACAGUGGAGGGUGCUCCACUAUUCACUGGGCCGGACAAGUCUGGCCCAGCCUAAAAUGAGUGGGCCGGGUCUGGCCCGGUCCAAAAAAAAAAAUUUCAAAAAUUUGUGAUUUCUCCGUGUAUUUUUCCGCUACGUUUUGCUUAAUAUUGGUUUGCAUUUUUAUAUCGUAAAAAUACAAAUCCGGUAUUAAAAUACCCGGUUUUCAUCAAAACAUAAAAAAAACAUGUUUUUGUUUUCAUGCAUACGGCCAAGUCUCUCAAAGCUAAAAAACUCAUAUUGUAUUUUCAUACAACGAAGAAAAACUUCAAAAAAAAAUUGUUUCAGCAUGCAUUUUUGGUUUUAAUAACCAGUUUAUUAAAGUUACGAGAACUUGGUCAAUAUUUCAAAAAUUCCAAAAAAAUUAUUUUUUUUCUUUUAAUAUCAGGGAUUACAAAUUUAUACGUAAAACGUAUUCCUGAUAUUGAAAAAGGUAGUUCUUUUAUUGAUGUUAGGACGGUUAGGUUUUACUCGAUAAGAUAAGGAUCUCCUUAUCAAGGAGGACUUUUCUUAAACCGUAGACAGACCAACAAUUAGAAAUAUGAUACAACCGUAGCAUAUAUCAGACAAUAAAACAAUGCAGCUUACCUUAGGUAGGGCGUAUUUGGGGUGCUAAUACCUUCCAUUUGCGCAACCAGUCUCCGUACCUGAUCUCCGAGACCAGUUACGGUUCCUAGUGACCAAAAUACUAGGUGACGACUCUCAUUCCAUUUUUUCACUGAUAAAAGACAAGAAUUCCUUGUCUCCCCAUAUUUUCCAGAUACACACACAUUCAUGAUGGUGGACGAUCACCGCGACACCGCACACGUGCGACAUGCCUCAUGAAGGCAUCAAUUAAAUCCUUCCAUUUUUUAACUUUGGUAUUGUCCAACCGUAUAUAGCAAAUGAGGGUAGUGUCACUCAAGCUGUCUUGAAAGAAAUGAAUCAGCAGUUUCUCAUCAUCAACCACCUCAGCCAUUUUGUUGCAGUAUGCUUUGAGAUGAGUUAUAGGGCAUUGAAUUCCCGUAUAUUUGACAAAUUCUGGCACUCUAAACUUUUUAAGAAUGACAACGUUGGGCACCAAACAAAUCUUAGCAACCUUUAUAGGAUCAUAUAGGUGAAUUCCCUCAAAUGCCCUUAACCUUGCUCUAAGGCAACUAAUUUGUUCAGACCAUCUUCUUUUACCAUCUUGCUCUUUCGAGAUUCCUUCUCUAUGGAAUCAAUGGUAAAUGACAUUCUCAUGGGGUAUGCUGGUUAGAAAUGCAUGGCUUGUUGAAAAUCAAAUGACAACCCAUUUGCCCCCCUAUUCUGUGGAUUGACGGGAUUUACGGGCAUAGGUUCAGGCUGAGCUAUAUGUGUUGCUUUUCCGGAUUCUUCUCUAAGAUUGUCCACCUCUUUUUGGUGUUGGACUUCCAACUGGGCUCUUUCUUCAUUUUCCAUUUGUUUUUUUUUUUUGAAUGAGUGUUCUAGGUAGGUUUCAAUGGGGAACCUAUAUUUCAACCUAUAAUGUAAAUCAUGCAAUUUAUGCGAAAAUGUUGAUUCAAUUAAAAAUUCGUAUGAAAUACGGACUCGCCCUUCACGGGAUGACAACCUAAUAGGAAGACCCUAAUUGUUGAGUGCAUCAAGGGGUUAGUCAUUAUCUAGUUUCAAAGGGUCUCUCGCAUGCUCAGCGAUCGUCCUUGAAAGGUCGAUAUGAGGCUUACAAGUAGUGUGAAGAUAGAGGCCCUGAGUAAUAUCAGUUUGGAAUAUCAACCACUUCCAAGUAAACAAUCAAGCGAGAGUUGGAUGGUUUCACGAGUCUUACCCAGGCUAAAGCCGUUGGGGGUACCGCUACUUUCCCACUUAUCCUAGAUUGUAAAGUGUGUGCUCUCAAAGUGAUGCAUGGCAAUAUAAACAAGGAUGCAUGCUAAAGCAGUAAAUGCAUGAAAAAUAAACAAAUAAACACAACAAACAAGAUAGCAAUAAUAAGACAAAAGGCAAAGCUUAAUCCUAAAAAGUCCCUAUGGAGUCGCCAUUCUGUCGCACCAGACAUCGCGGCGGCCUUAAAUAUAUCUUUGAAAAGAAUGGAUUUCUGGCGUCCUGUUCUUUUAGGGGAAAAUAUCAUGUUUAAGGAGUCGCCACAUAGUAUUAUGGUCACUAGGAACCCUAACUGGUCAACAGAGAUUCUAUGGUACGAGAUUGGUUACGUAAAAGGAAAGAUAUUAUCACCCCUUAAACGUUUUGCCUGAGGCAGACUGCAUUGUUGGUUUUGUCUUAAAUUGCUAAACAUUUAUUAGCUUAUGCUAUGAUAAUUUGUUUAUAAUAUUCCUGACUCUGGCGCCAGUGAAUAUUCGAUCUCGAAUACUUCCAACUCUGGCGUUGGUAAAUAUUCCACCACGAAUAAUUCCAACUCUGGCAAUGGUAAAAAUUCCACUACGAAUAAUUCUAACUCUGGUGAUGGUAAAAAUUCCAGCUAAAAAAAAUCAGUAUAUUUUUUUAUUCUUAAUCCUGAUAUUAGUGAAUAAAUUGUUAAAAUACAUUUUUUCUAAGACAUGCAAAAUUUCUAUUUCUACGCUUUCUAUUUUUUUAUUUUUUUAUUUAUUUUAUUUUUUAGGGCUGGGCUGACCAACACGCGUGCGCUAAUGCAUGCGUGUUGCUACACUGUGCAAGUGAAUUAAAAUUCACUUGCACAAAGCCAAUGCCAAUUACAUGAACAAACUGCAAGAAGGAAAGGUUCGCUUACCUGGUCUGGGAGGCGAUGGUUAAGUUCCUUCUGUGUGAUUGAACCACGCUUGGCAGGGCACCUUUUCCACCUUUCCUUGCGUUUUUCUGGCCUUAUUUCUUCGGCUGCUAAUGACUUGGAGCAGAAACUUUAGGCGAAUGACCGAACUGAUUCUCUGUUUUCUUUUAUUUGCUUGCGUUUUGAGACCAAGGCAGGGCUAGAAACACUGAUCCCUGUUGUCUUCGAUCUCCUUUCCUUCCUCCUUUCUUUCUUGUUUCUGUGUUUUUUUUUUGUUUUGGUUCGUGCUCUGUUGCGUCCCUCUCUGUUAUGACACUAACAUUCAGAUAAAUCAUAAUGCAUCUUUCUAUGGAAUGAAGAUGAAUGAGCAUGCACUUGAGCCAGGAACAAAAUUCUUGAGGAAGAGACUGAGGAAGAAGAGCCAAUUCUUGACUACCACAGUCACAUACUAACACAACAAUUUAAGAUGGCAUUUUGAAGCAAAACCACAUUCGUAUUCCAAGAAUCAACAAAUCAUAAAACACCAUCAACUUACAUAAAGCACAAUAUGAAAAUUCAGCAUCUAUCAUUAUUGGCAUGGAAGAACUCAAUAGCAUGCAAUAACUAUGUCCUAACAUAUGUCUAACUACACAAUAUCUAACAUGUAUUAACUACUCAACAACAAAUAUCUAAAAAGGGCACUCACCGACAGGAGAUUUUGCUUAAGAGUCUGAAGAUCAGCAGCAACCACUUCAAACAAAUUUGUUAAUGAAACUGGUUCUCUUGACUCUUUCUUCAAAUUCAGAAGUACUGUGGGACCUUCAGCAACCCCAAUAUCAAGCCAAAAAUGAACAAAAAUACCAACAUUUCAAGCAUUACAACAUAUUAAAUCAAUGGCAGGUGCUUUAUUGAUGGAGACCAAACAUUUAAAUGUUAUGUUAAGUAAAUGGAAUCACCAGAAUCAUAAUGAAUUAGGAAAGCACUAAACUGUGGUCAACAAAGAAAUGGUUAAUGAAUGGCAACGACUUGUGCUACUCUAAAGCAGAUUCGAUCAGUAUCAGUAAGACAAGUCACUGAUUGUUAUUCCUGUUGGAUACAGACACUAAACUGUAAUCCAACAAAUUCAGAUUGUUCCGUCGAAUACAAAUACAUUCAGUAUCAAUAAGACAUGAAACUAAUUCUAAGAUGUCCUAAAAAGCAAUUUUAAACAUAAAUACGAAAGGCAAAUACAACUACUAUCAAUACAAGGAAAAAACAUGAAUAUCAAAAACAGUUAGCAAAACAUAAAAUCCAAAUUAAUAAAAAGAAAGAGAAAAAAAAAGUGUUUCACCCAUAAAAAAAAAAUGUACCAGCAAGUAAAGUCUCAAGGGUCUUUGUUGAAGAAACUCGACACCUAGCAAUAUCUCCUGAAACCAUAAUCUCUGUUACAACUCUUAGAAACUGACUUUGCAUAAUUCCUCACCGAGUACCUAUCUAUUGAAUCACUGGAGGAACAACCACAAGCCACCAAAUGAAGUUUAGCCCUUCCAAAAUCAAGAUUAUAGCAAGUCAUUUACAUCAUUCUCAAUAGCAACACUCCAAGAAAGCUAAAAAGAAACAAUCUUUUGCUAUCCACUUAAAAUACCCAGAUAGAAAAUAUUGCUCAAUUUGCCAUAUAACUAACAGCCUUGAGAAACAAAUAGAGUAUUCGGCAGGUUGAAAGUGUUUUUUUUUUUUAAAUUGAUUUAAAUUAAUUUUUUGUUUUAUUGUUUUUAAAUUAGUUUGAUGUUUUAUAUGAAUUUUAAAAAAUAAAAAAAAUAUUAUUUUAAUAUAUUUUUAAAUAAAAGUAAUUUGAAAAACAAAAUAAUUGGAGUGUUAAAAAUUUAGAGUAGAGAUUAUUUUUUAAAAUAUUUUUUAUUUAAAAAUACAUUAAAAUAUAUUAAAAAAAUCCUUCAAAAUAACUCAUGAAAACCGAAACUAUCAUUUUGAUUACUAAACAACCGUUCAGUUUCUUUAGAAAAUGAAUUUUUUUAUUCUUUAAAUUUAAAGAUUAAAAUAUAAAUAAAAUAAAUUUUUAGAUCAAAAUUAAAAAUAUUAAAACUAAAGGGACCAAAACAUAAGAAUAAAACAAAUUCAAACACCAAAUUUUUAAAACCCGCUCUUCUUGAAUAGUAAAAAAAAAACUUGCUUUUGUGACUUUGUCUUUAGAGUUGGUCCCUAAAGAUUAAAUUAUUUUUAAACACUAAAAUCAAACUUUAUUCUACCAAAUUGUGAAAUAAUAGAGACCAAAAAAAAAAAUCCUAAGUUAAUUGAAACAAAUAUAUUUUUUUCAAAUAUCAAUAAACAUAAUAUUUAAGAAUAAAAUUAAAAAAAAAUCAAUUACCAAAAAUUAUACAAAAAAAUCUUGAAGAACAUAAAAAUAAAAAAUAAAACUCACUGUUUCAAUCUACAAUAAAAUACUAAGCAGUUUUAGCCUUUUCUUAAUCUUAAGCUGAAUGUUUUCAAGGCACAUCAAGGCCUCUAACUUGUCUUCACAAAGUAGUUAGAUUCGGAUUACGAAAUAGAUGUAUAGGAGGACCUAACCUGGUGGUUCUUCUGAGUUCUGAUCCUGAAUCAAACAACACUUGCUGGUUGCUACUUUACAUCCGAAUUCCCACACUCUCGCGCACUUCUAUCAUAGUUUAUGUUUUGCGCUUUUGAGGUGUAAGUUUGCUGGGAGCUUGCAAUUCAAUUUUGGAUCCUUUAUCAGGAGAUCAGCAAUUAAAUGAGGCCUGACAAAAUUAGGCAAGAAUGUAUGUCAGACCAACUCUUCUGCUUCCUUGCAGCAAUAUAUUUCCAGCAGACAAGUUGCCAGGAAUUACUUCCUGGACCAAGGCUUAGGCAUAGAUGCAGUUGCUAUAGCCUGCAAAUUGACACAAAAUUGUCGUAAGCAUGACAUGAAAAUGUCUUCAUUGUUGCCAGAAGGAUAACGCAUUGCAUCAUACAUGUAGUAGUCCUUACUUGGAUCAGUCUUGACAAUGAGGCCAGAGUCCCUGAAAUCACAAUUCCAGUGGUUCCUUCCCUUACGUUGGUAGUACAGAUUCAUGGCUAUUGAUGCAUGGCUUAUGAGACUAUCCGGAGAAAAGCAAGGGUAACCCUUUUGUAGAAUCUGGCAAUCCACGUGAGAGCAUGCGUAAUUGAUAUUCGCUAGUAAAGUUGCUUGAUCCGACGAUGGCUUGGCCACACACCAAGUUCUCUGCAAUAUUAUUGUCAAAGCAAAUUUCAUGGAAUUAGGACAAUGUACAACCAAAAAUUUACCCAAUUUAAGUUGGAUUCGUUUACUUUCCAUCGUAUGUUUGUGUGAAAAGAGAAGUUGAUAGUUGCUACCUGUUCAUUAGCCAUGACAGAACUUCCACCUGCAAAAAUAUGAACAGAGAAGAAAUCCCAAAAUAAGACCAUUUGCCAUUUAUUGUAGUAAUCAUGAUAAACCCAACACAGAUUUGAGAAGAAACCAACUAAAAUAUACUGUACUUGAGGAAAUAAAAUUUGUCGUGUUUAAAUAGCAUGUGCAACUUUCUUUAAGCUACAAUGAUGGAUGUCCAUGGCUAGAAUUGCCUCGGUGGUAGCUCUUUUCCAUGGCAUUAAUGAUGGCGUAGCCAUAAUGUGGCUCUAACAAUCCUUUUCCUUAUUUAUAUUUUUUUGUUUUCUUUCCUCUUUUCUCUACCCCCUCAAUUCUUGUGGAUGUCCUUAAAAUUUUGAAAUCCAGCCCGACCUUGCAAGUCAACCCGGGACUCAGCUGAUCCAGGGUUGGGUUGAAGAAAAAAUAAAAAAAGUCAUGACCUGAUAUGACCUGGCCGACCCGGCGGGUUGACCCGGCAAAACCCGGUCAAAAACUCAGUUGCAAUCCGUUGAUUUUUUUUUACUAAAACGACGUCAUUUUGAAUUUUUUUAUAAAUAGAGAUUGACUCAGGCGACUCGGUGACCUGGUCAAAACCUGGAACCCGGGCCUUGGACUGGGCCGGAUUUAAAAACUAUGCCUUAAAAAGGAAAAAAAAAACAAUUUUAAUCUACAAUAACUUAUUUAACUUCUUAGAACAAAGCAUAAUCAUGCUUUCAAUGUCAAACCAUGUGAUCAUCAGGAAAAAAAUGAAAAUAUCAUCUAACUUAUAAAUGGAUCUUCAUGCUGAGAUUCUAAUGACUAUUUAUUUAUUUAUUUUAUCUACUCCAACCAACAAUUUGUUUAUUCUCAUGAAUUAAUUAAUUUAAUGACUACAACCGUAAAGAAUCAAAACAAAAGGAAUAUUAGUUUAUGUUGCAUGAAUUAAUGAUAAGGAAAAGGAAUAUUAGUUUAUGCUGAGAUUCUAAUUUGUUUAUUCUCAUGAAUUAAUGAUAUGGAGAUGUCCAUUCAGAAUUGACUUUCUACCACACAAACAAUAAAAAAAUAUCACCCACCCACUUCUAGAAUCAUUGAAACUUGCUUGGAAACAUGACCCCAUUUAUUUGUUGGAAAGUAGUUUUUUUUAAAAAGUAAAUUCCGGGAAAGUGAAUUCCAGGAAAGUGAAUUAUUUUCUGAUGUUUGGUAGUGUAAUGAAAAAUAAGUUGGAAAAAAGUUGGAAAACACUUUCCAGUGUUUGGUUAUGUCAUGAAAAAUAACUUAUUAAUGUUUUAUUUUUCUCAAGUUUAUUAAAAUAAUGAGGAACAAAUCUUACAAAUUAAAAAGUUGAAUGAGAAUGAAAUUGAAAAAAAAUAUAAUUUCAUAAAUUAUCUCAAAUAAAAUAAAUAAUGAUCAAAAUAAUAGAGAUCAAAUUUAAAAAAUAAAAAAAACAUGAAAGAUGAAGAAAUUAAAAUAAUAAUAAUUAACAUUUCAUAAAUUAUUUCAAAUAAAAUAAGUAACAAUCAAAAGAAUGAGGACCAAAUUUGAUACAUAAAAAAUUUCAAUAAAAAAAUAAAAAAGAAAAAACAAAUAACAAUUAUAAUAAUGAGGACCAAAGUUAAUAUAAAAAUUAAAUUUUAAGAGAUAAAAUUGAAAAAUAAAUAUUCAAAACAAAAUAUAUAUAGCAAUCAAAAGUUUGAGGACCAAAUUUGAUAUAAUUAGAAAAUAAUAUGACAUUUCUAAAUUUUUCACAACUUCCGGAAAGUGUUUUCCUCCCAAAUUUUACAGGAAAACACUUUCCUGAAAACCAAGCUAAAUUUUUCUUUGACUGAAAAAUAUUUUCCGUUAAUCAACUUUUCUAAUGGUAAACAAACACAGGAAAGUUUGGAAAGUAGUUUUCCGGAAAGUGAAUUCCGAGAAACAAACAUAGCCGAUAUGUUUUGAAGGCAAUAAUAUUUAAUUGGUCUCUGCGCACAUCACCUGCCCAAAGUCUUCGCCUUAUCUCUCGCUCUCUGAUCCAUUUCUGGAUUUAUUUCUUCGUGUAAAAAUGACAAUAACAGUCACUUCAAUUGUAGUCUCCAUUGUUUAUGUUGCAGUGCUAAGAUGGGCAUGGAGACUUUUGAACUGGGUUUGGUUUCGGCCGAAGAAGGUCGAGAGGUGCUUGAGACAACAAGGUUUUGCAGGCAAGCCUUACAGGCUUUUGUUUGGAGACUGGAAAGAAAGUUCAGAUAUGUUGAAGGAAGCAAGGACCAAACCCAUUGGUUUAUCAGACGCUCUUCUACCUCGUGUCAUGCCCUUCCUCCAUCAACUGGUCAAGGAUUAUGGUAUUUCAACACGCAACCCUUUAUUAUCUCUCUCGUAGAAAAGAUGAUUUUUCUUGCUACUUAAAUAUUUCUCCGAUUUAUUAAGAAAUUCCUUUUGUUUUCAUGGUAUGCGUAUUUGAUCUCUUGGUAGUGUUGGUUUCCUACUGGACAGAACAGUACUAAUUACUAAUAGUUGAAAACAUUGGUUUCCAAGUCAGUAUUGAACUUGUUAUUAGUUGGCUAGAGGUUGUAUAAAUAUAAAUAAAAGAACUUGUAUGUAGAGUAUAGUUAUUUUUGUGUUUUAAAAAUAUUUUAAAAAUAAAUAAAUUUUUUUAUUUUUUACUUUAAAUUAUUUUUUAAAAGAAAUAAAAGAAAUAAAGUCAGUAUUGAACUUCGUGUCAUGCCCUUCCUCCAUCAAGUGGAUCGCAUGUCACCUUUCUAAUGGAUUCUUACCAUGUAGUAUCAUUCUCUCUUUUGAUGCAUGUUACAGGUUACCAUGAUUUUGUAUGAAGUUCUUAGGUUAUACCCGCCAGUAAUUACGCUUAAUCGAGAAGUUCAUGAAGAAAUAAAGCUUGGAAAUUUGCUAUUACCUGCCGGAGUGCAGAUCUCGUUGCCAACAAUCCUCCUUCACCAAGAUCAUGAACUUUGGGGUGAUGAUGCCUCUGAGUUCAAACCAGAGAGGUUUGCUGAAGGUGUUUCAAAGGCAACAAAGAGUCAGGUCUCAUUCCUUCCAUUUGGAUGGGGUCCUCGAAUAUGCGUUGGACAAAACUUUGCUUUGAUUGAAGCAAAAAUGGCUUUGGCAAUGGUUUUACAGCGCUACUCUUUUGAGCUCUCUCCGUCGUAUAUUCAUGCUCCUCGCACAGUCAUAACUCUUCAGCCACAGCACGGUGCUCCAAUGAUAUUACGUAAACUCUAAAAUGUUUAUAUGUGACGGGUAAGAGUUAUCCCAGAGUUAUCCCAGGGUAUAAAGUAGGUUGGAUCUCCCAAUAAACCAAACCAAAAACAAAGCCUCUAGUAUAUAAUAUUAAUCACAACAUUAUAGUACCGUGGGUUGUUUUACUGUAAUCAUAGUAGAUUACUAUAAUAAAAUUACAUAUUUGCUUUUGAGUGGAAAAAAAAAAAGUCUGAUGCGGUGUUUUGAUUUUUUUUCUAUUAGCUCAUUGAUUAUUAAAAAAUUAUUUGGUGUAAUUUUUUUUUUCAUGGUAAAAAGACUUUUACUUUUGGAGUCAACAAAACUUAAAGUUGUUGACUACAGGUUUUUUGUAUUCCUUAUAAAUUUUUAGAUAGGAAAAGUAUUUAUUUAACUUGGAUCAAAAAUUUGUUGGGCUACUGGACGAAGUUUUUUUUUGUUUUUUCAUUAUUCUAAAAGUAUAUUUUUGGCUCUAGAUAAGAUAAAAAAAUCAGGUUUUUAUUUAGGGGUAUUUUUGUAUUUUCACACAGGUUUUUUUUUUUGUAAUUAUCAAGGUCAUACGAGUGGUUUAGUAUUUUCACGUUGAGUUUUUAAUUUUUUAAUCAGAAAAGUUAUUGAUGUGUGGUAAGCACAUACGCUAACGAGUGGAUAAUGUCUGCAUCAUUCAGACGAUAAUGAUGGCUAAACUUGAUAUUUCACACUCUCUUUGGAUGUGCUAUUGUGUUCUUUCCCACCUAAUAUGACAUGAAAUGGCAUAUGAUAAUUGAAUUGUCACUGGUAUUAGUUUUUUUCUCUCUCUCUCCUACCAAGAGUUUAGGGUUAGAUAGCUAGUGUAAGAAAAUACACAAUUAACCGAGCAUAAAAAGGAGUAAAGAAAAAGGGUAGUAACUGAAUAUAUGUAUAAUUAGCUGACAUCACAGCUCAAUGGCUUAGAAGAAAUAUAGAAUGAGUCUCCAGCAGCUUCUCUUCUGCAGGACUUGUCUGAAAUGCAGAAAAUAAUCCUGGCACCCAUAGAGGCUUGUUGCAUAGUAUUUUUCGCUAUAUGCCUCCGCACUCCUUGUAAAUUAUUGUUUUUUGAUCAACUAAUAACUUGUACAACAAGAUGUAUUGCACUAAUGAACCCGUUCGAGAUUGCACAGCACCAUUUCCUCGAGAGCUGAUUGAUAGCUAGGAUCCCCGAGGAAGACAUCUGAGAUUCUGAAUUGCAAGAUCAGCUCUCUCUUUUGCCAAUUCCUGUGCCCUUUCAAUGCCACCACAGUCCAUAACCAACUCAGUAGCUUCAUCAAGAGAACCACUCUCACGGAACUCGGUCUUGAUUAUUUCUCCUAGUUUUGGUGAUUGCUCUAGAGCAAAUAUUACUGGAGCAGUCAGGUUCCCCUUUGCCAGGUCACUGCCAGCUGGCUUCCCCGGCAGCUCUGCUGACUAUGUAAAAUCUAAUAUGUCAUCCACAACUUGGAAGGAUAGACCAAGAUUCUUACCAUAUUCAUACAUUAGCAUGCAAACAUUACUGUCCACCCCACUAAAAAUAGCAGCUCUGUCCACCCCACUAAAAAUAGCAGCUCCUUUGGUACUAGCAGCAAUUAAGGAGGCUGUCUUGUAGUAACUUCAAGAUCACAGUCGAACAAGCUAGAUUCCUGCUUUAUUUCACCCUUUGCAAAAUCCUUGAUAACCUGCCAUUGAGCAAGUACAAUUGUAAAUCAGCUUCAGUUACAUUUUUUUUUAAAUUAAAUAAUAUAUAGCAUAGUGCAAGAACUCCAAGGUUAUAUCCUGGACUAUAAAUACUCGGAUAUACAGAAUGGAGUUGCAGACCUACCGAACUGAUAAGCUUAAUGACUUCAAUAUUUUCAAGAUUUGCUAGGUACCAUGACGAUUAAGCAAACAUAAAGUCCCCAGCCAGUACUGCUACCCUUGUACCAUAGUGUUGAUGAACAGUUUCCUUCCCAACAAAUUAGCAGCAGUGAACUGAAAGUCAGAGAAGGCCUUGCAGUAGGCCCAAAAUUAAAUUAGAAAAAAAAAAAAAUGAAAAUGCAAAAUGCAAAAUGCAAUAAAGUGUGUAAUAGAUAUUUCAGUUUUGCUACUCUACUUGAUGUGAUAAGUAUGAGAUCCAAUGAUCGCACGGUCAGUACCAGUGAUUACUUAACAAUUAGCAUAUUUCCUUCAGUUUUUUAUCUCUGAUUAGGGAGCAAUUAUUUUAACAGUGAAAGUAGUGUAUUACAUCACUUUGGAUGUGCACAUUCAAGCUCAUCUCCAGUCAAUAGGCUCUAGCUUAGUGACUUACAUUGAAAGCAGGCUUCAGCUAUCACUCAUCGAUGACAUACUGACUGAGAAGUAGUGAUGUAUGGCUUAAGAUCUCACUCACCUAUGACAUACUCUCAGAUAAAGUGAUGUCUCUCUUCAGAUUCCCACAAGUUUAUAGGCUUUUAAGAAAGAAAGGAUACAUAUUUCAUUGGAUCUUCAUACAAUACAGUGUUCAAGCCCAUUCAACCAAAUAUUUCUUCACAAUCCCUGCUUGGAAGAAUAAUAGAUAAAUUCAGUUGCUGUUCUUAAGAGAUAUAGGAUUCUAGGGCAAUGAACAAGUCCAAAUAAUCAAAGUUGGCUUCGAAAAAUCAUAAUUUUCAUCUCACAGCUAGGUUGACAAGGUCUAACUAAUAAUUAGGACGUUUAAUCUAUGGUUAGCCAACCCUUUCUAUAUAUAUGUGUAGGACAAUAUACAAUAAAGGACCUCACAACAGUUCGUUGUUUCCCGGAUUUCCAUGAAAUAGGGGUAGAGCCAAUGUACACAAGAUGACCAUCUGUGGAUUUUCAAUCGUCAAUACUGGCAGCCCAAUCAGCAUCUGUGAAACCAUGAAUAGACAAGGGAGAAUCCUGAGUGAUGUGCAGACCAUAGGUUGCUGUAGCCUGGAGGUAAUGCAGGAUUCGUUUAACAGCAGACCAAUGAUCUUCAGUAGGGGUAUGCAUAAAUUGACAUACCUUGUUGACUGCAUAGCAGAUAUCAGGUCUAGUGAAGGUAAGGUAUUGUAAUGCCCUAACAAUCUGUCGAUACCAUAUGGGAUCAGAGUAAAGAGUACCCGGUACAAGUCCUAAUUUGGAGGAGGCAGACAAAGGAGUAUCAAGUGGUUUGCACGAAGUCAUACCUGCGUGUUGGAUGAUGUCCAUGGCAUAUUUAUGUUGGCUUAAUAAGAUACCCAUAGCAGUAGAUUUAAUUUCAAUGCCCAAGAAGAAAUGAACAGAGCCUAAAUCCCGAAGCUUAAAUUCUGAUUGCAGCAAAGUAAUCAAUCUAUGAAACACAGCUGAGUUACUCCCGGUUAAUAAAAUAUCAUCAACAUACACAAGCAGGUAAAUCAUGGCACCAUCGAGAGAGAGAAUAAACAGAGAAGAUCACCAUUGGAUGCUUGAAAUCCAAUAGAGAAUAAAAACUCACUCAACCAGUUGUACCAAGCGCGAGGGGCUUGUUUCAAACCAUACAGAGAUUUAUGGAGACGACACACAUGAGACGGGAGUGCAGGAUCAACAAACCCAGGCGGUUGCGCCAUGUAUACCUUUUCCUGAAGAAUGCCAUUCAGGAAAGCAUUAUGAACAUCCAACUGAUGAAUGGUCCAACCAUAUGAGACAACAAUAGUGAGCACAAGGCGAACCGUUGUAGGCUUAAUCAUUGGACUAAACGUCUCCAAAUAAUCAAUUCCUUCUUGCUGAGUGAAGCCGCGGGCAACUAACCGUGCUUUAUAUCGGGUGACCUGACCAUCAGCAUGUCUUUUAAUCUUGUAAACCCAUCUACUGCCAAUCGCAUUCAUAGACGGAUGGGGGGGCACCAACAACCAAGUCUGAUUAGAGUAAAGUGCCCGAAGCUCCUCCUGCAUGGCAGUGUGCCAAGUCACAUACCUGUUGGCGUCCUUAAAUGUCAAUGGUUCCUGCUAAGGUAAGGUCGCGACUCGUGAGACAGCCAUAUGUUAAGAUUGGCAUUUUUUUCUGGAUGCGGGCGAAGCACCAUAAGAUGGGUGCGAGCCCGCUGAGAUGGAGAAGAGACAGUGGCAGGGAUAUGCUGAAGAUUGAAUUUAGACAGAUCAACACAUACGUUAAUUCCACGAGGGGAAAUAGAGGAAGAACCUGCGGUUGAAGGACUCAAUAUAGGCGCAGACCGUGAGGGAGACCCAACAGAAGAAACGCCCAUAAUAGGGGAGCUAGCAGCAACGUUGGGCAACGCCUAUGAGUGUGACGAAUCUGAACCUGCAGUUGAAGAAUGAUCAUAAUAACAUGCAGAUAAUGGUAAGUGAGCCGAAGGAGGUGUAGGGAGUGUAGAGGGCAGUGGUGAAGGAACUGGAGAGGGUGGCAUGAGAGGAUGUAAAGUGACGGGUAUAGAGAGAGCAGAGGGCUGUUUGGGUGUUGCUGCCAUCUGUUCAGUUUUAUCAAGAGGAAAAAUAUUUUCAUGAAAUCGGACAUGACGAGCAAGAUAAAUUUGUUUGGACGACAAAUCAAAACAUCGAUAACCGAGAUGAGAGGUACUAUAUCCUAGAAAAACACAAGGAGUUGACCGAAAAUCUAACUUGUGAGCAUUGUAUGGACGAAGAAAAGGAAAAUAUAGACACCCGAAAGUAUGAAGAAACGCAUAAUCAGGAGUCGAUUUUAGAAGACAUUCAAACAGUGUCUUAUGAUUAAGAACUGGAGUGGGCAUGCGAUUAGUCAAAUAAAUAGAACUUUCAAAAGCAUAACUCCAAUAUUUAAAGGGAGCGUGACACUGCCUAAGAAGAGUAAGUCCAGUUUCAACAAUAUGUCUAUGACGGCGUUCAACCAUGCCAUUUUGUUCAUGAGCGUGCGGGCAGAUCACACGAUGAUGAAUACCAAUCGUUUUAAAAUAUGUAUUUAGUUUUCAAUAUUCACCACCCCAAUCGGUUUGAACAGACUUAAUUUUUAAGGAGAAUUGGCGCUCCACAAGCGUCUGAAACUGAUGAAUAAUUGCAAAAACAUCAGACUUAGCAACUAAAGGAUAAAACCAUAUAAAUUUCGUAUGAGCAUCCACAAAAAUAACAAAAUAGCGAAAACCAUCAGAGGACAAUAUAGGGGAUGGACCCCAAACAUCACUAAAAAUCAAGUCAAGAGGAGCUCGAGUUUGAUGACCCGUAGUUUUUAGAGUCAGACGUGACGACUUGCCCAAAGGGCACGCAAGAUAAUAAAAAUUAAACUGAGUGGACGUACAUGACACUUUAUUUUUCACCCAUAAAUGCAAAAUACGUGGACUAGGAUGCCCAAGGCGACGAUGCCAGACAUCAACUGAAGUAGAUAGACAGGUAGAGGAGAAAGCUUGAGGCAACGAUGUUGCGGAUGACGCGGACAAAACAUAUAGACCAUCUCUACUCUUACCGGAAAGAAGAACUUCCUUUAUCAUGAGAUCCUUAACAUAAAAUAGAGAGGAAUGAAAUUCAAAAAAGACGUUAUUCUUAAGACAAAAUUUUUAAACAGAUAUCAGAGGUUUUUGAAUGGCAGGAACAUGUAAAAUAUUGGAUAAAGUAAACUUGCGGUUUAGUGAGCGAAUUUUAUAGUGAGCAAUAUUUGAGAUAACAAGGCCUUUACCAUCACCAACAUGCAGAUGAUCAUUUCCAAGAUAAGGUUCUGAACUCGUCAUACUAACAAGGUCCAGCGUGACAUGAUGAUUUGCACCUGUAUCAAGAAACCAAGUAACAAGAGUAGUGGUAGAGGCAGUAUUAAAUGCGAGAUUAACAUUAGCUUGCAUAUGAUGAGUAGCCAACCGAGAACAUUGUUGAGCAGUAUGCCCAUAUUCAUAACACAACUGACAUUUUAUAUUGCGAGUAUAACCACCAAAACGAUUUCCUUGCUGCCCAAAACUACCUGUUGGCCGUGAGGAAGGACUAGAGGAGAACCAAUUUCCAUUUUGGCUAGAUUGUUGACCCGAAACAUAACUGUGAGCUGGUCCAUUGCCACGAUAAUAAUUGCUGCGAUUGUUAGGUCUCCAGCCCCCACGAAAACGACCCCAUCUACCAGGUUGAUGCUACACAAAGAACGCAGGUGGCUGCUGCGUUGGAGUUGGUAACAGAGGAGCUGUUACAGAUGGCUGGAGAGAGGCUUUGUGAAGAAACUCAUGUGUAAGAAGGCUGCUAUGGAGAUUAGUGUAGGUGAUGGGAGCAUGCUUAGUGGACAAGCUGGUGACAAGAUCCUUAAACUCACUGCGUAACCCUUGAAAUACAUACAAGUUGAAUUAUGCCAAGGAGAUUGGUCUGCUAGCGGCAACAAGUUCAUCAAACAAGGCCUUUGCCUUCUGCAAGUAAAUGCUGGCAGAAUCAUCAUUUUGUCGUAAAUCCUGGAAUGAGCCAUGGAGCUAUAUAAUUCUGAAAUUUGAGGGAGAGGCAAGAGCUGUUUCCAGAGUUGUCCAGAUGGCAUUAGAGGUGUUACAAUCCACAAAGUGUAGAACUUCCACCGAGAGAGAAGAUAGGAGGGCACUCAUGAUUAAGUGAUCUUGCUGCUCCCAUGACAAAUAUGCAGGGUUGAUAGAGAGUGUAGAUGUCUCAGCAGAUGCUAGAUGUGAAGGGGGACAUGGUGAUGUGCCAUCAACAAAGGAAUACACGCCUUGGCCCAAGAGAAACGGUUUCAUCUGCAUCCUCCAAUACAGGAAAUUAUGGUUGGAGAGUUUUAAAGAGACUACCUGGUGUGUGUUAGGAAGAAGGAUAUUUAUAGAAUGUGUUAAGUUGUGCCUUAGCCAACCUUCCUAUUUAUAUAUAUGUGGCAGAACACAGCAAUAACUGUAGGGAUUACAACAUUGGAAUAAUCCUAUAUUAUUUUUCUAUUCUGAUAUAUACAAGCUAUACAUUCUAUAAUAAGGGAUAAUGGAGGCAGUAUGGGAUGCGCCAUACAUAACUGAUUGCACCACAAGGGAGAAAGAAGAUUGAAGAGCUGAUGCAGCGGCAACAGACUGUUGAAGUUCUUGAUUGUCCAUGUUGCUAGGGAGAAGUUGCAGUUUUGAUUUCCUGGAUGCUUGAUGAGAAGUAACAGAGGAAGAAGAUGAAUGAUCUCUACUAAGAAGAAACUGCUGCUGGCGAAUAUAAUUAGUUGCAGUUUUAUUAAUUAAUCUAAUGACUACAACCGUAAAGAAUCCAAACAAAAGGAAUAUUAGUUUAUGUUGCAUGAAUUAAUGAUAAGGAAAGGGAAUAUUAGUUUAUGCUGAGAUUCUAAUUUGUUUAUUCUCAUGAAUUAAUGAUAUGGAGAUGUCCAUUCAGAAUUGACUUUCUACCACACAAACAAUAAAAAAAUAUCACCCACCCCCUUCUAGGAUCAUUGAAACUUGCUUGGAAAGAAAUGUUUGAAGGCAAUAAUAUUUAAUUGGUCUCUGCGCACAUCACCUGCCCAAAGUCUUCGCCUUAUCUCUCGCUCUCUGAUCCAUUUCUGGAUUUAUUUCUUCGUGUAAAAAUGUCAAUAACAGUCACUUCAAUUCUAGUCUCCAUUGUUUAUGUUGCAGUGCUAAGAUGGGCAUGGAGGGUUUUGAACUGGGUUUGGUUUCGGCCGAAGAAGGUCGAGAGGUGCUUGAGACAACAAGGUUUUGCAGGCAAGCCUUACAGGCUUUUGUUUGGAGACUGGAAAGAAAAAUCAGAUAUGUUGAAGGAAGCAAGGACCAAACCCAUUGGUUUAUCAGACGCUCUUCUACCUCGUGUCAUGCCCUUCCUCCAUCAACUGGUCAAGGAUUAUGGUAUUUCAACACGCAACCCUUUAUUAUCUCUCUCGUAGAAAAGAUGAUUUUUCUUGCUAGUUAAAUAUUUCUCCGAUUUAUUAAGAAAUUCCUUUUGUUUUCUAUAAGGCGCCAAUGAUUGAGAAAUUAAAACCACUGUGCUGGCCGAAUGUUUCAGCCGAUUUUCUUAUUUUAUUUCAUUUUAUAGUGCUCUUGUGGACUACUCUCGCCUCAAACCUAGUUUUCUAUCAAUGGGAGAAAAAUAUAUAGAUUAAAUUAAUUACUUCUUAAUUAUAGUUUUAGAGAGUUAUAAUAUUUUUAAAACAGACCAAGUGGGUAUUAAUUUUCAAUAUUCAUGGUAUGCGUAUUUGAUCUCUUGGUAGUGUUGGUUUCCUACUGGACAGAACAGUACUAAUUACUAAUAGUUGAAAACAUUGGUUUCCAAGUCAGUAUUGAACUUGUUAUUAGUUGGCUAGAGGUUGUAUAAAUAUAAAUAAAAGAAUUUAAUAUCGUAUGUUUAUUUUUACAUUUCAAAAAUAUUUUUGAAAAAAAUUAAAAAAUUAAAUUUUUUACUUCAAAUUAAUUUUUUGGUGUUUUUAGAUCGUUUUGAUGUCAAAAUAAAUUUUAGAAAAUGAAAAAAUAUUAUUUUGAUUUAUUUUUAAAUGAAAAAACACUUUAAAAAACAACCGAUAUCACAAUAUCAAACAGGUUCUGAGAAUAUCUAGUGUGGUCGAAAACUAAUAGUAUUGUGUGCGUGGAGGAACAAGAAAAAAAAAAGAAGAAGAGUAAAUUGUGACUGUGUUUAUUGAAUGGAUAAUAAUAGUAUAUAGGUUGCAUGUGAUAAUCUAGAUGGUGUAUAAUGGGUGCAUAGUGAUUAGUUUAGGUUGUGUAUAAUAUAACCUAUUCGUGUUGUGAGGGUACAAUUGUGUAGUUGUGUGGGGUAACUUGAUUAUUUUAUGAUUCAAAAAUCAGAUUCUAAAUGUUGAUUUAUAUUUAACAAAAUUAAUACUUUUGUAUUUAUCUAGGUAUAUUAAAAGAAUCAUAACUUUACGUUUUCUUGCAUGUUAAAGUAAAGUUGCAUCUAGAGAAGAUUAUACUUUGUCAACUCUAUUGAGGUGUUCAUAAAAAUAUAAAAAUCUAUUAGAAAAAGAAAUAAAAAUUCUCUUACAAGAAUUUUACCUUAUAGUGUGAAGUGCAAUUUUUUCUGGGUUUGGAUUUCUUUUGUUCAUAUCUCAAUUUGAGCCUCGUGUAUUUCCCUCAACAGAAGAAUAUAUAUAUAUAUAUAUUUUGAUUAAUAAGUAUGCUUCCUCUGACGAUGCAGGUAAGAAUUCAUUUAUGUGGGUUGGGCCGAAACCAAGAGUGAACAUCAUGAACCCUGAUCAGAUAAAGGACGUAUUCAUGAAGAUAAAUGAAUAUCAGAAGCCCUCGCACCCGCUGUUGAAACAUCUAGCAUGUGGACUUGGAAGUCACGAGGGUGAAAAUGGGCUAAACAUAGAAAGAUAAUCAACCCAGCAUUCCAUCAAGAGAAGCUAAAGGUGAUCAUGAUAGUCUCAACUUAUUUGCCUAUAAGCAUCCAUGCUAUUCGAUUGCCUUGAAUGAGUAUAAAAAUGAUAGCAUGUUGUGCUCUCAUAUAUAUAGCUGUAGUAUAAAACUUUCGAUGAUGAUAUAUUCUGUUUUACAGCUUAUGAUACCUGCGUUUUCCGAAAGUUGUAGCGGGAUGAUUAACAAGUGGGAGAAGCUGGUCUCUGUAGACGAGGGCUCAUGUGAAUUGGAUGUCUGGCCUGAUCUUCAAGGCUUAACAUGUGAUGCUAUUUCUCGAACGUCGUUUGGAAGUAAUUACGAAGAAGGAAAAAGAAUAUUUGACCUCCUCAAGGAACUUACCGAUCUUACAGUUCAUUUUAUAAUAAAAGCAAUUGUCAUACCAGGGUACAGGUAACUCUUUAUUCUGUUUUUGCUGGACAUUACAAUUCAGUUCCUUCAAGUUAGUCCUUGUUCAAUGAGAUAUAUCUUAAAAGUAAGAAGCAGAACAAAUCCAAAUCUCUUGACAACAUGUUCAUGGAUUGCAUGUAGGUUUCUGCCGAUCCCAUCUAAUAGAAGGCUAAAAGCUAUUGACAAAGAAAUAAAAGCUUCUCUUAAUGCUCUCAUCAACAAAAGAGAGCAAGCAAUGAGUGCUGGUGAAGAUGCAAAGAAUGACUUGUUGGGUUUACUUCUGGAAUCCAAUUUUAGAGAAAUACAAGAGCAUGGAAAUACCAAGAGCGUCGGAAUGAGCAUUGAAGAUGUGAUUGAUGAAUGUAAAAUAUUCUACGUUGCUGGACAAGAAACAACCUCAGUUCUUCUUACCUGGACCAUGGUUUUAUUGGCUCAGUAUCCGAAUUGGCAAGCACGCGCAAGAGAAGAGGUUGUGCAAGUCUUUGGUAACAAAAAACCAGAUUUCGAUGGGCUAAAUCACCUUAAAGUUGUGAGUAUUUCUCUGCAUUUGCAACUGAAUUCUUCUACAUCAAUAUUGUCUUGUUAUUGUUAAGAACACAGAGCAUUCUUGCAUUUAAAAUGCAAGCUUAGGUAUCCUUUGAAGAAAAAGUAAGAUAGCAGAAAAAAAAACGUUCAUGUUUUCUUUCGUUGAAUUAUUAAUCGGCCAAAAUGACGAGGAAAAACAACCAACAGAUGAGUACGCAAGCAAGCUAGGAGGUGACAUCUAUAUACAUUAAGAAUGAGAUUUACUAGCUCUUGGAUCAACAUAAAGAUUCUCAAUUUAGUAAGUUGAAAUGGCAUGCAAAUGAUCUCUAUAUAUGCGAUAUUUUAUUUUAUCAAAGUGGAUCGCAUCACCUUUUUAAUGGAUUCUUACCAUGUAGUAUCAUUCUCUCUUUUGAUGCAUGUUACAGGUUACCAUGAUUUUGUAUGAAGUUCUUAGGUUAUACCCGCCGGUAAUUAUGCUUAAUCGAGAUGUUCAUGAAGAAAUAAAGCUUGGAAAUUUGCUAUUACCUGCCGGAGUGCAGAUCUCGGUGCCAACAAUCCUCCUUCACCAAGAUCAUGAACUAUGGGGUGAUGAUGCCUCUGAGUUCAAACCAGAGAGGUUUGCUGAAGGUGUUUCAAAGGCAACAAAGAGUCAAGUCUCAUUCCUUCCAUUUGGAUGGGGUCCUCGAAUAUGCGUUGGACAAAACUUUGCUUUGAUUGAAGCAAAAAUAGCUGUGGCAAUGGUUUUACAGCUCUACUCUUUUGAGCUCUCUCCGUCGUAUAUUCAUGCUCCUCGCACAGUCGUAACUCUUCAGCCACAGCAUGGUGCUCCCAUGAUAUUACGUAAACUCUAAAAUGUUUAUAUGUGACGGGUAAGAGUUAUCCCAGGGUAUAAAGGAGGUUGGAUCUCCCAAUAAACCAAACCAAAAAGAAAACCUCUAGUUUAUAAUAUUAUGUGCAAAUUAUGUUAUGAUGUCCAAUGACAUAUUUGUCAUAUUAAUCACAACAUUAUAGUACCGUACGUGGGUUGUUUUGCUGUAAUCAUAGUAGAUUACUAUAAUAAAAUUGCAUAUUUUCUUUUGAGUGGAAAAAAAAAACCUACUCGAGGAUGAGGAUGGGGUGUUUUGAUCUUAUCUACUAGCUCAUUGAUUAUUAAAAAAUUAUUUGGGGUGUAAAUUUUUUUUUUUUUAAACGGUAUAAAAACUCUUUUAUUCCCGGAGUCAACAAAACUUAGAGCUAUUGACUAAAUGUAUUUUUUAUGUUUUGAUUUUUUUAUAAAUUUUUAGAUAUUUCUUUACUAAGAUCAAAAAAUUUUAGGGCUAUUAGAUAAGGGUUUUUUUUUGUUUUUCUAUUAUUCAUAUGUAAUAAAAGUAUAUUUUUGGCCCUAAGACAAAAAAUCAGGUAUGUAUUUAGGAGUAUUUUUGUAUUUUUGUCCAGAACCACCACAGUAGCUUCAUCAAGAGAACCACUCUCACGGAACUCGGUCUCGAUUAUUUCUCUGUACUGGAGCAGUCAGGUUCCUCUUUGCCAGGUCACUGCCAGCUGGCUUCCCCGGCAGCUCUGCUGACUGUGUAAAAUCUAAUAUGUCAUCCACAACUUGGAAGGAUAGACCAUGAUUCUUACCAUAUUCAUACAUUAGCAUGCAAACAUUACUGUCCACGCCACUAAAAAUAGCAGCUCCUUUGGUACUAGCAGCAAUUAAGGAGGCUGUCUUGUAGUAACUUCAAGAUCACAGUCGAACAAGCUAGAUUCCUGCUUUAUUUCACCCUUUGCAAAAUCCUUGAUAACCUGCCAUGAGCAAGUACAAUUGUAAAUCAGCUUCAGUUACAACUUUUUUUUAAAUUAAAUAAUAUAUAGCAUAGUGCAAGAACUCCAAGGUUAUAUACUGGACUAUAAAUACUCGGAUAUACAGAAUGGAGUUGCAGACCUACCGAGCUGAUAAGCUUAAUGAUUUCAAUAUUUUCAAGAUUUGCUAGGUACCAUGACGAUUGAGCAAACAUAAAGUCCCCAGCCAGUACUGCUACCCUUGUACCAUAGUGUUGAUGAACAGUUUCCUUCCCAGCAAAUUAGCAGCAGUGAACUGAAAGUCAGAGAAAUUAAAUUAGAAACAAAAAACAAAAUGCAAAAUGCAAAAUGCAAUAAAGUGUGUAAUAGAUAUUUCAGUUUUGCUACUCUACUUGAUGUGAUAAGUAUGAGAUCCAAUGAUCGCGCGGUCAGUACCAGUGAUUACUUAGCAUAUUUCCUUCAGUUUUUAAUCUCUGAUUAGGGAGCAAUUAUUUUAACAGUGAAAGUAGUGUAUUACAUCACUUUGGAUGUGCACAUUCAAGCUCAUCUCCGGUCAAUAGGCUCUAGCAUAGUGAUUUACAUUGAAAGCAGGCUUCAGCUAUCACUCAUCUAUGACAUACUGACAGAUAAGUAGUGAUGUAUGGCUUAAGAUCUCACUCAUCUAUGACAUACUCUCAGAUAAAGUGAUGUCUCUCUUCAGAUUCCCACAAGUUUAUAGGUUUUUAAGAAAGAAAGGAUACAUAUUUCAUUGGAUCUUCAUACAAUAUCGUGCACAAGCCCAUUCAACCAAAUAUUUCUUCACAAUCCCUGCUUGGAAGAAUAAUAGAUAAAUUCAGUUGCUGUUCGUAAGGGAAAUAGGAUUCUAGGGCAAUGAACAAGUCCAAAUAAUCAAAGUUGGCUUCAAAAAAUCAUAAUUUUCAUCUCACAGCUAGGUUGACAAGGUCUAACUAAUAUGCGAGCCUGUUGGUCAUCCAUCUAUUAGAACCCUUCUCUCUUCAGCCUUGGACUGGCUCUGCAAAACUCUAAACAGGGCAAAUGGAAUUAAAACUUAUAAUCCUUGGAUACAUUUCAUGAAGCUUUUAUAUUUAAAUCUUUGCAUAUGUCUAGAAAUACUCAUUUAGAAAUUCUCCAAAUGAAGCUAAUUUAGGGAGCACAACCAUGAUAUAUGUUCUAUAAACUGAUCUUUUAGUUACAGUAAGACACAAGACCUUAUCCAAUACAGAUUAUAAAGCUGAUAACCGGAUUGAGUAUUCUUUCCAUCAAGCAUGCUGUACAAGAAUAUCUGUAAGCAUAUUACAAUAACCAAAUAGAGUUUGUUGUCUGUUACCAUUCCACAGCUACAAAGACCUCAGCGCUAUACAAAUACUAAGAAUAGAGCAUGCAAACUGUAAGUGGGCGUUGGUGACUAACAUUAGAUCCUUGUUCACUGUAAGUUUUAAAAUAGCUUGGGUUUUUUCAAUAAGCAUGUGUUGGUGAAUGAUGCAGUGACAUUAAUGAGAUUUUUCAAGUUGCUUUGAUGUGAAAUUCGAAAUCCUACCUCUUCACAUGUCACUUUCAUCCAAUACAUCGUCAUGUAUUAAACUUGCAGUGUGGAUCAUCUCAAUAAUCUCUGCUAAACGCCGAUGUUCAGUUGUAAGUUCCCUGCAAAGCAGAAAUGCAAUAUAAUUUUUCUAUUCCAUUCAGCACCAUACGAAGCCCUUAAAAUACUGGAUAAAACUUACUUCAACCCGACUACUUCUGCCGUGGCUCUUGACACUAGAAAGACCAGAGCUGGUCACAUUCUCUUCCCACCAGCACCAAAUUUCUGCUCAGCUCCAGACAUCAAAACCGUAUUUUCUGCAGCAACAAUCUACCAGAGCAUCUUCAUCAGAAAUAUAAAAGGCUGGAUAUAAAGAACAAGAAAAAACUAUUCUGAUCCAGUGCAAAAAGGUACAUGACUCAUCAAUAUAGAGGGUAAUAGAUAAUAGAAAACACACAAGUAGAACAUGGAAGCAGGUAGAAGUUCUUAUGCAGUGGCCCUCUUUUGUGAACUCAUCUUGUGCCAAAAUAACCUUGUUUACUUGUACUUAAGUACAGAUUCAGUGCUGAAUUUAAAUUUUUACGCACUACCGCUAUGCCAACUUAUAUCAACUCAGAACAUUUGAGGUGGUCUAUCAGCUAACCACUAGUUAAUAUAUUGGUAAAAGUUCAUUCUUCAUUGAUCUACUAGGACAUAUUCUGUUAGGAAAUCAAACACACAUCAAAUUUACGUGGUUCGGCAACUUGCCUACUCUACGGAGCUACUGGUUUGUAUUAAUCAAUCAAAGAAACAAUACAAACAAGGAGGAGGAGAAAAACACUCUUCUCUACUCAACUCACUUUCACUCAAGCUCUCUCUAUCUUCUUCUGUCUGUUCUGCCGCACACCCUCAGCUCUUCAAUGUGUCUAUUUAUAGACUAAGCUGGGAAUAAAAGAUCAUGGUCACCAUGAACUUCCACUUUGUGCUAAGUGGGAGAUGAGUUGUUCCCACUAACAUAUAGUGGAGGUAGGGCAUUGUUUGUCUCUAUUAUUCUAACAAUCUUCCACUUGAAGACAAACAAUGAAAUUAUCUUUUAUCCUUGAAGACCAACUGAAGUUUUACACAAUUUCAGUUUAUCAAGUGUAACUCCUUUGGUUAACAUGUCAGCUGGAUUCUUGCUCCCACAGACCUUUUCUAACAUUAGUUGCUCAUUGUCCAGCAAUUGUCGGAUGAAGUGAUAUUUGAUCUGAAUAUGCUUAGUCCUGGAGUGAAAUGCUGGAUUCUUGGCAAGGAAGAUUGCACUCUGACUGUCGCUAUACAAAGUACCCUUUCCAUUCAUCUUGCCCAAUUCUUUUAGGACACUCUGUAGCCAUACUAUCUCUUUUGCAGAUUCUGAAACUGUAACAUAUUCAGCUUCUGUUGUUGAAAGAGCGACGAUAUUUUGCAAGGUAGAACUCCAGGAAACAGCAGUACCUCCUAGAGUAUAUACAUAUCCUAUAGUGCUCUUUCUACUAUCAAUAUCUCCUGCUAGAUCAGUGUCUACAAAACCCUCAAGUUUCAAACCACCAGCUUUGAAACUGAGACAAGUUUCCGGGGAACCUUUUAAGUACCUCAUGAUCCAUUUUACCGCCUUCCAAUGCUGCUUUCCAGGAUUGCUCAUAUAUUAGCUUACAACUCCCACUGCAUGGGCAAUGUCUAAUCUGGUACAGACCAUAGCAUACAUCAAAGAGCCGAUAGCUGAGGCAUAUGGAAUCUUAUCCAUGUAUCUAUAUUCUAGCUCAGUUUUUGGUGACUGGUCUUUGCUGAGCUUGAAAUGAUUCCCCAUAGGUGUACUUACUGGUUUAGCAUUAUCCAUAUUAAACCUGCUGAGAACCUUCUUGACAUACUCUGUUUGUAAAAGCUUUAGUAUGCCUUUGUCUUUAUCUCUAAUGAUUCUCAUGCCAAGUAUUUGUUUAGCAGCUCCCAGAUCCUUCAUUUCAAACUAUUUUGACAACUGUUGUUUCAACUUGUCAAUCUCCUCAAUGCUGGAUCCUGCAAUCAGCAUAUCAUCCACAUAUAAUAGUAGAAUGAUGUAGGAGUUGUCAAAAUGUUUGACAUAGCAACAAUGAUCAGCUUGGCAUCUUGUGUACCCCGAACUACACAUGAAGUUGUCAAACUUCUUGUACCACUGUCUUGGAGCUUGCUUCAAACCGUAUAGACUUUUCUUUAGCUUGCAGACUUGGUUCUCCUUUCCUUGUAUUGCAAACCCCUAUAGCUGUUGCAUGUAAAUGUCUUCCUCCAAGUUACCAUGAAGAAAUGCUGUUUUUACAUCUAAUUGUUCAAGAUGUAAAUUUUCUGCAGCUACUAUCCCCAGAACAAUUCUGAUUGUUGUGAGCUUCACAACUGGAGAAAAUAUCUCAGAGUAGUCAACCCCUUUCUUUUGUUGAAAUCCUUUUACAACAAGUCUUGCUUUGAACCGUUUGCUUCAGGUGGUUGGUUCUUCGCCGGAGUUUCACCAGUGGGUUGCUCUCGUUUUCCCUUACACGAUGGUAUGUAUAAAAACACAUUUUGAUAACUUUGAUUUCUGGGUUUGGAUCCAACACCCUCUUUUUCAAGAACAAGCUCUGAUACCAGUUGUUAGGAAAUUCCAGAAAUCAAACACACAUCAAAUUUACGUGGUUCAACAACUUGCCUACUCCACGGAGCUACUGGUUUGUAUUAAUCAAUCAAAAAAACAAUACAAACAAGGAGGAGGUGAAAAACACUCUUCUCUACUCAACUCACUUUCACUCAAGCUCUCUCUAUCUUCUUAUGUAUGUUCUGCCGCACACCCUCAGCUCUUCAAUGUGUCUAUUUAUAGACUAAGCUGGGAACAAGAGAUCAUGGUCACCAUGAACUUCCACUUUGUGCUAAGUGGGAUGAGUUGUUCCCACCAUGUGCUUCCACUUUGUGCUAAGUGGGAGAUGAGUUGUUCCCACUAGCAAAUAGUGGAGGUGGGGCAUUGUUUGUCUUCAUUAUUCUAACAUAUUCUACUACAAGCAAACAUUGACUAUUUACUGAUUAAGCAUCAUCCUAACAUUCAGAUAAAUCAUAAUGCAUCUUUCUAUGGAAUGAAGAUGAAUGAGCAUGCACUUGAGCCAGGAACCAAAUUCUUGAGGAAGAGACUGAGGAAGAAGAGCCAAUUCCCAGCAAAAUAAAUUACAUACAAGGAUAACUACCACAGUCACAGACUAACACAACAAUUCAAGAUGGCAUUUUGAAGCAAAACCACAUCCGUAUUCCAAGAAUCAACAAAUCAUUAUUGGCAUGGAAAAACUCAAUAGCACAAUAGCAAUAACUACGUCCUAACAUAUGUCUAACUACACAAUAUCUAACAUGUAUUAACUACUCAAUAACAAAUAUCUAAAAAGGGCACUCACCGACCGGAGAUUUUGCUUAAGAGUCUAAAGAUCAGCAGCAACCACUUCAAACAUAUUUGUUAAUGAAACUGGUUCUCUUGACUCUUUCUUCAAAUUCAGAAGUACUGUGGGACCUUCAGCAACCCCUGUAUCAAGCCAAAAAUGAACAAAAAUACCAACAUUUCAAGCAUUACAACAUAUUAAAUCAAUGGCAGGUGCUUUAUUGAUGGAGACCAAGCACUUAAAUGUUAUGUUAAGUAAAUGGAUUCACCAGAAUCAUAAUGAAUUAGGAAAGCACUAAACUGUGGUCAACAAAGAAAUGGUUAAUGAAUGGCAACGACUUGCAAGGAUUGACUUGGCGGCCAUUUGUGUCUGAUCGUUAGGGCUCUCAAACUCCAACAGCGCACCGUAUCAAGGUAAGGAAAUUUUCCAAAUUAAUGUAAAGAUUUAGACUGGAAGAAUAAUUCUUUUAUAUUGAAAAUAAGUUGAAAACACAAGACACUGAAAAGAAGGAUUGAUAAAAAUUAGUGAGACAUCUUUGCAAGAUGGGUCCGAGCCGCAGAAUAUGGCACUGAUGAAUCAUAGUGUUCUUUUGGAGGACAGUGCCUUCUGUACAAGUUGUUUCGCAAUUCAGAGUGGCUCUCUCGGUGAGCUUCGUACUCUAUGAGAAUAAAUAUGCGCACAUCAUUAACAAAUAUUGAUAUUUCUACUAAUUUGUACAUUUAUUUUAUUUACAAGAAAGGGUCGUCGAAUGCAACUACACCACCCAAAACUUGCCCUGUCGGCAAUCUCAUUUCUUCACAGAACUAGGAAAGGCAGGGGUCUUUGUUGAAGAAACUCAACACCUAGCAAUAUCUCGCCGGCAACAAACCAUUCUCCUGGAACCAUAAUCCCUGUUACAACUCUUAGAAACUGACUUUGCAUAAUUCCUCACCGAAUACCUAUCUAUUGAAUCACUAGAGGAGCAGCCACAAGCCACCAAAUGAAGUGUAGCCCUUCCAAAAUCAAGAUUACGGCAAGUCAUUUACAUCAUUCUCAAUAGCAACACCCCAAGAAAGCUAAAAAGAAACAAUGUUUUGCUAUCCAAUUAAAAUACCCAGAUAAAAAAUAUUGCUCAAUUUGUCAUAUAACUAACAGCCUUGAGAAACACAUAGAUUACUCGGCAGGUUGAAAGUGUUUUUUUUUUUUAAAUAAUUAUUAUUUUUUUAAAUUAAUUUUUUGUGUUAUUGUUUUUAAAUUAGUUUGAUUUUCUAUAUAAAUUUUAAAAAAUAAAAAAAUAUUAUUUUAAUAUAUUUUCAAACAAAAAUAUUUUAAAAAUAAUUUUUAUCACUCUCUUAAAUAUUUUUAAUAAAACAAUUGCAAUUGCAAUUUUAUAGUGAUUAUUUUUUAAAAUAUUUUUUAUUCAUAAAUACAUCAAAAUAUAUUAAAAAAAUACCUUAAUAUAACCCAUGAACACCAAAAACUAUGAUUUGAUCACCAAACAACCAUUCAAUUUCUUUAUCUUUUUUAUUUUUUGAUGAUUUUUUUAUUCUUUAAAUUUAAAGAUUAAAAUAUAAAUAAAAUAAAUUUUUAGAUUAAAAUUAAAAAUAUUAAAACUAAAGGGACCAAAACAUAAAAAUAAAACAAAUUCAAGCACCUAAUUUUUAAAACCCGUUCUUCUUGUAUAGUGGAAAAAAAAACUUGCUUUUGUUUUUAGAGUUGAUCCCUGAAGAUUAAAUUAUUUUUAAACAAUAAAAUCAAACUUUAUUCUACCAAAUUGUGAAAUAAUAGAGACCACACAAGAAAUCCUAAGUUAAUUGAAACAAAUUUUUUUUUUUCAAAUAUCACUAAACAUAAUAUUUAAGAAUAAAAUUAAAAAAAAAAUCAAUUACCAAAAAUUAUACAAAAAAAUCUUGAAGAACAUAAAAAUAAAAAAUAAAACUCACUGUUUCAAUCUACAAUAAAAUACUAAGCAGUUUUAGCCUUUUCUUAAUCUUAAGCUGAAUUUUUUCAAGGCACAUCAAGGCCUCUAACUUGUCUUCACAAAAAAUCAGCUUGAGGACCUAACCUGGUGGUUCUUCUCAGUUCUGAUCCUGAAUCAAACAACACUUGCUGGUUGCUACUUUGCAUCCGAAUUCCCACACCCUCGCGCACUUCUAUCAUAGUUUAUGUUUUGGGCUUUUGAGGUGUAAGUUUGCUGGGAGCUUGCAAUUCAAUUUUGGAUCCUUUAUCGGGAGAUCAGCAAUUAAAUGAGGCCUGACAAAAUUAGGCAAGAAUGUAUGUCAGACCAACUCUUCUGCUUCCUUGCAGCAAUAUAUUUCCAGCAGACAAGCUGCCAGGAAUUACUUCCUGGACCAAGGCUUAGGCAUAGAUGCAGUUGCUAUAGCCUGCAAAUUGACACAAAAUUGUCGUAAGCAUGACAUGAAAAUGUCUUCAUUGUUGCCAUGCAUCAUACAUGUAGUAGUCCUUACUUGGAUCAGUCUUGACAAUGAGGCCAGAGUCCCUGAAAUCACAAUUCCAGUGGUUCCUUCCCUUACAUUGGUAGUACAGAUUCAUGGCUAUUGAUGCAUGGCUUAUGAGACUAUCUGGAGAAAAGCAAGCGUAACCCUUUUAUAGAAUCUGGCAAUCCACGUGAGAGCACGCGUAAUUGAUAUUCGCUAGUAAAGUUGCUUGAUCCGACGAUGGCUUGGCCACACACCAAGUUUUCUGCAAUAUUAUUGUCAAAGCAAAUUUCUUGGAAUUAGGACAAUGUACAACCAAAAAUUUACCCAAUUUAAGUUGGAUUCGUUUACUUUUCAUCGUAAGUUGAUAGUUGCUACCUGUUCAUUAGCCAUGACAGAACUUCCACCUGCAAAAAUAUGAACAGAGAAGAAAUCCCAAAAUAUGACCAUUUGCCAUUUAUUGUAGUAAUCAUGAUAAACCCAACACAGAUUUGAGAAGAAACCAACUAAAAUAUACUGUACUUGAGGAAAUAAUGUAACGGGCCCGGUCGUACGACUUGAUCAAUGUUAAAAGAGCCCAACAUAUUCUCUUAAUUUAAGGGUAAAUUUUUUUAAAAAAUCUACCAAAAAUUUGGCAGAGUUUCAUUUGUAUUGAGGACAUUCCAAGUUAUCGACUACUAUCAAUUUACUCAAUCAACUCAUCAUCACAAGGUCCCAUAAUUCCGGACCUUAUAUCAAUCAUCAUAAUUCAACAACUCAUACAAUCCACACAAUAUAUAUAUAUAUAUAUAUAUAUAUAUAUAUAUAUAUAUAUAUAUAUAUAUAUAUAUAUAUAUAUAUAUCCUACGAGUAAGUUCAAUAUCAACAUGGCCCACAUAUCAUAUCAUAAAAUUUAAAAGAAAAGGAAAUAUUAACAUGCAAAGAAAGCAUUACAACAUAAUAAGUGUUCUUAAACAUUUCAAAAAGGUUAAUUACAAGAUAACUAAAGUACCACAUGUUAAGCUGAACUUUUAUAAAUACAUCAAAGUUUACACAAAAACAUACUACAUAAACGCAUUAAUUCUCUUUUGUUUAAGUUAAAUAUUUAAAUAAACUUGACAAAGUAGAGUCCUAAACUAAUGAUUUCCCUAGAUAUUUGAUGGACCUGUUACAUAAAUAAUCAUGCCAUUAUAUUGAUAAAAAAAUAUAUACAUAUGCUCAUGUAAUAUAUAUGAAAGAAGUAUUAAUUUUCUAUCGGAUCCAUAAGAAUUCUAACAGACAACUUAUGUUUUGCUUGUAAAUCUUUUAAACCCAAUUAAUACUCAUUUGUAUAUUUUUAAUUUAAAUACUCUUAUUUACUUGCAUGAACCGGGUGACCUUGCAAAAUCUAAUCUUGUGAUUCAUUUCCUGGUAAUUCUAUCACGGAUGCCAUUAGCCAAAGCUAAUCUUGCAAUUCGUUUCUCGGCAUUCCUAUCACGGAUGCCAUUAGCCGAAGCUAAUUUUGUAAAACUUUAUUUACAUUGAACACGAUAUUUAUUGUAAUGGCAUUCACCAGAAGAAUUUUAAAUUGUAUAAGUGCAAAAAAGAGGGAAAAUCACACACCUGUUCCGCCUGUCUCGUGACCUCCCCUAACAGAAGAUCCAAUCCUGGUUGCUCCUCCUGAAUCACAAGGAAGUUUUUGGUUAUGAUUCCUUCAAGCCGAUAUUAUAGACAAUCCAUAUUCCUUCAUUACUCAUAUGUUACUUUAUAUGCAUGUUCAUUUCCUCAUAAUAACAAACAUACAUAUAUCAGGUAUAUUUUCAAAGUUAGUAUCUCAAUGUGCAAGUGUUUGUGUGACUCAAUUAUUUUAUAUUCUUACAUAUAAUAUUCACAUGAAAGUCUAUUGUUACUGUCUAACUUUGAAUUGUUAUUGUCCAACGGUUGUUGUCCAACCGUUGCUGCUUGAACUGUUGUUGUCCAACGAUUGAUGUCUAACCAUUGUUGUUUGAACACUCAUCAGAUUUUUAACUAUAUCUAGAGUUCUAGAACUCCAUUUUAAGUGAGAUUGAUCUCGUUGGAAAGCUAAGAGACGAGGCUACAAGUUCUCUAAAGGAAGGAGAACCCAGUUAUGCCUCCAAAAUAGUCAAAAUUGCUCAUCAACCCAACAGUCCUACUACCCUAUAGAAUCAGUCACGACUCAAUCUCGGUUGGUAACCUAUAACUGGAGUUCUACAUCUCCAAAUUGAGCAAGAUCAGUUUCCUUGGUUAGCUAACAUCCAAAUCUACAGUUUUUAUGAGAAAUCUAAUCCUAAUUCCCUCAUCCUCCUACCCAAAAUCUCACCGAAAGUCAGGAGACAAGUUUGUCAAGAUUCGUCUCCCCCUCCCCUUCAUACAAUACUUUCAUAAACCACAUACCACACACAUAAAUUAACUUAAUUUUAACAAUAAGUACUUUUUCCCCAAUUCAUGUCUAAGAACCCUAACUUAUAAUUCAGUAUCAAGGCACUAAUUCAUUAUCGAAUUUGAAAUGAAUGUUUAAGAUCAUGUUUAGAACACAUUACCCGGUACGAAUUAAGAUUUUGAUCUUCAACUCCCUCCUUUCUUUUCUUCUUGUUCAAUUUCUUGUUAAUCCCUUGCUCACAAGUGUUUAUCCCAUCUAUAAACCCUUAAUCUUGGAUAGUUCUUGAAAUUUUAGUGUUUCUCUCUUGAUUUUGCAAGAAUGGGUAUAAAACUCCAUAUUUUCUCUCCUUAUGGUUCCCUGCAGAUUUUUGGUGAGGAGAGAGUAUUUAUACUCUAUAUUUUCCCUUAUUUGAAUUUAGGCCUCAUUUCCUUUAAAUUUUUGAAUUCCUGUCUUUUAUUUAAUCAUACGCAUCAAUUUCUUCACUUUUAUUUCUCAUGUAGUUAGUUUUCAAUUUAAGCAACCUUUAUUUAUUUUUAAUUUUUUUUUCAGGGUUUACAUUUUCCCCUCCUAAUAGAAAUUUCAUCCUCGAAAUUUGAGUAAUGUACCUAAGUUUAUAAACAAGUUAAGGAAUUUUCGUCUCAUUUUUUAUUCUCUCUCCCAUGUCUCUUCCUCGAUUUGUGAGCUUCGCCAUAAGACUCUGAUGAUGGAAACUUUCUUAUUAUGAAGUUCUUUCUUGCCCCAAUCGAGAAUCUUUAUUGGUCUCACCUCAAGUGUUAAGUCUUCUUUUACCUCCACUGGCACUUGAGGUAACACUCUCGAAGGGUCUACAUUGGUUUUUCGCAGCAAAGAAACAUGGAAUACAUUGUGAACUUUGGCCAAUUGUGAGGGCAAGUUUAUUUCAUAUGAUACAGGUCCGAUACAUUUUUGGAUUUCAAAUGGUCCGAUGAACCUCAGAGCUAACUUCCCCUUCAUGCCGAAUCUCAGCAUGUGCUUCCAUGGAGCUACCUUCAAGAAUAUUUUAUCUCCAGGACAAAAUUCAAGUGGUCUUCUUCUAAUAUCUGCAUACUUCUUCUGUCUAUCCUGAGCCACCUUCAUUCGAUCCUUGAUAAUCCUCACUUUUUCAGUAGUGAUUUGUACUAUUCUGCCCUAUACAGCUUUCUGUCCCCAACUUCUUCCCAGCACAAAGGUGUCCUACACUUUCUGCCAUAAAGAGCUUCAAAUGGCGCCAUUCCAAUUGUUGACUGAUAACUGUUGCUAUACGUGAAUUCCACUAGUGACAGGUGCUCCUCCUAGUUUCCACUAAAUUCCAAAGCACAUGCCCUUAGUAAAUCCUCUAAAAUCUAAAUAACUCUCUCAGAUUGGCCAUCAGUCUGCGGAUGAAAGGCAGUACUGACACUCAAAUUUGUUCCCAAGGCACGUUGUAUGCUCGGCUAGAGACGUGAAGUAAAUCUUGGGUCUCGGUCUGAAACAAUUGAUAUUGGAACUCCAUGAAGCCUCACAACUUCGUUCACAUACAUCUUAGCCAACUUGUCAACUGGAUCUGUCAUCUUUACUGGUAGGAAAAGGGCAAACUUAGUUAGUCGAUCCACAAUGACCCAGAUUGCAUCAUUUCCCCUCUUUCCUCUAGGUAGUCCCGACACAAAGUCCAUUGUGAUCAUCUCCCACUUCCACUCAGGGAUUGGUAACGGUUGUAACAGCCCUGCCGGCUUUCGGUGUUCUACUUUUACUUGCUGGCAAAUACUAUAUUUUGCCACGUGGCCAGCCACUUCUUUUCUCAUAUUUGGCCACCACUAGUACUGUUUUAGAUCCUGGUACAUGUUGUUACUACCUGGAUGUACAACGAACUUAGACUUGUGGGCCUCUCGUAGUAACAUUUGUUUAAGGACUUUGUUUUCAGGCACAUACAUACGUCGCCCUAACAUCACUAUUCCAUCAUCACCCAUUCUAAAAAGAGUUUCACCCCCCGAUUCUAGUUUGAUUCUUACUUUUGACACUUCAUCAUCAAGCUGUUGUGCCUCUAAUAUUUGCUCUUGAUAUCUCACCCUUAAUUGAGCCAUUAAGGAUCCUUCCGGACUCACAUUUAAUAAUGCCCCCAAUCUCUUUAGCUCACUCAUGGUUUUCUCAUUCUAAAUCGUUGGUCCACCCCUAAUUGCCUUGUCUUUACGGCUGAGAGCAUCCGCGACUACAUUCGCUUUUCCUGGAUGAUAAUCUAUAAUACAGUCGUAAUCUUUAAUUAAUUCUACCCAUCUCCAUUGUUGCAUGUUCAACUCCUUCUACGACAUCAGAUAUUUAAGGCUCUUAUGAUCCGUGAAAAUUUGAACUUGGGAUCUGUAUAAGUAGUGCCUCCAUACUCGUAAGGCAAAAACUACUGCUGCCAAUUCUAAGUCAUGAACUGUGUAGUUGAUUUCAUGAGUCUUUAGUUGUCUGGAUGCAUAUGCAACUACUUUUCCAUGCUGCAUUAGGACACAACCCAGUCCUUUUCUUGAGGCAUCACUGUAAACUACAUAGCCUUCUGUUCCGGAUGGAAGGAUUAGUACGAGGGCAGUAGUAAGCCUUCUCUUCAAUUCUUGAAAGCUCUCAUCGCACUCCUUUGACCACUCCCAUCUUAUGUUCUUCCUGGUGAGUCGUGUCAAUGGAGUUGCUAUUGUUGAAAACCUUUCGAUAAACCUUCUAUAAUACCCUGCCAAUCCGAGAAAACUACAAAUUUCAGUUACCGUAGUAGGCCUUUCCCAUCUCAGAACUGCUUCCACCUUCUGAGGGUCCACAAAAAUGCCUUCUAAAGACACUACAUGCCCUAAAAAGGUAACUUCUUUUAACUAGAAGUCACAUUUAUCCAACAUGGCAUACAGCUGGCGGCUCCUCAGAGUCUGUAGUGUCUGUCUCAGGUGCUGUUCAUGCUCCUCAUAGGAUUUGGAGUAAACCAAGAUGUCAUCAAUGAAUACGACAACAAACUUAUCAAGGUAUGGUCGGAAUACUCGGUUCAUUAAAUCCAUAAAAAAUGUUGGAGCAUUAGUUAAUCCAAAGGGUAGCACCAAGAACUCGAAGUGUCCGUAGCGAGUUCUGAAGGUAGUUUUUGGCACAUCUUGCCCUUUGAUUCGCAUCUGGUAGUAUCCUGAUCUUAAAUCAAUCUUUGAGAAUACAUGAGCACCCUUCAACUGAUUGAACAAAUCAUCUAUUCGCGGAAGCGGAUAUCUGUUCUUUAUCGUCACUUUAUUCAGCUGACGGUAAUCUAUGCAAAACCUCAACAUUCCAUCUUUCUUCUUCACAAAUAAUACGGGUGCCCCCCGAUGUGAGUUGUUUGGUCGUAUGAACCUUUUGUCUAAGAGCUCCUGUAAUUGAAUUUUCAACUCAUCCAAUUCUUUUGGGGCCAUUUGCAAUUGAAUAGCAUGUGCAACUUUCUUUAAGCUACAAUGAUGGAUGUCCAUGGCUAGAAUUGCCUCGGUAGUAGCUCUUUUCCAUGGCAUUGAUGAUGGCGUAGCUAUAAUGUGGCUCUAACAAUCAAGGUUGUCAAUUCCGUUUCGGUAGGUGUUUCGUUUUUUCAAUUGGAAUGGAAUGUUUCAGUUUCGGAGUGUUUCGGCGUGCCGUUUCGGGGUUGUACUAUAUAUAUAUAUUUAACAAACAUAAUUCAAAUUCAAGAUAAAUUAAUAUAAAUUAUGCAAUACAAACACAAUGCCAAACAAAUAUAAUUUCAAAAUUUAAAAUAUUUCUAAAUAGUCAAGAUUAAAUAGAUCUUUAACUUAAAGUAAUUCAACUUAAACAAAAUAUCAAAAUAUUAUGAAAGUAAAAUGUUUUAACACAAAUAUUUUAAAUAUAAAGUUAGGUCAAUGUUAUCAAGGCUAAUGGAAUCUAAAGCAUAUCUUGUUUUGCUCAAAUUCCUACAAAGUAUAAAUAUGAAAAAAACAACAUGAAUAUAAACCAUAUAUAUUAGUGAUAAAUCUAAUUUUAAAAAAUUAAUAUCAUUGUUAAUGAAAAUAGUAAUAAUAAUUUUCAAUAUUAUUAUCAAUAUCAUUAUUAUUGAAAAUAGUAAUGAAAAAGAGUUUUUUAUAAUUGGGUGAUUUAAUUAAUUAAAUUGAACAAGGUUCAAUUUGAUUCAAUGACUUUUCAAGAGCGGAACGGAACAUGUGGAAUGAAACCGGAACAUUCCGGGCGGAAUUUAGCCGAAAAAUCCAGAACGGACCGAGAUUUAAAAUGAGAUGAAAUUUGUUCUGUUUUGUUCUGUUUUUUGAAUUGGUAUGGAAUGUUUCGAUCAUUCCGGAUGAAACGAAACGGAAUAUACAACCUUAGUAACAAUCCUUUUCCUUAUUUAUUUUUUUGUUUUCUUUCCUCUUUUGUGCAUGUCCUUAAAAAGAAAAAAAAAACAACCAGAAUUUUAAUCUACAAUGACUUAUUUAACUUCUUCGAACAAAGCAUAAUCAUGCUUUAAAUGUCAAACCAUGUGAUCAUCAAGGAAAAAAAAAUGAAAGUAUCAUCUAACUUAAAUGGCUCUUCAACCAUUUAUUUAUUUAUUUUAUCAGGGAAAAAACUUGGACUUCGUUUUUUUAAAUUACUUUUCAUAUUUUUAAUUUAAAGAAAAUAUUUUAUGUGAAUCCAACAACUUGAAAGUUCCAAACACUCGCAAACAAGAUAUGGAGAUGGCCAUUCAGAAUUGACUUUUCUGCUACACGAACAAAAAAAAAAUAUCACCCACCCCCUUCUAGAAUCAUUGAAACUUGCUUGGAAAGAAAUGUUUGAAGGCAAUAAUAUUUAAUUGGUCUCUGCGCACAUCACCUGCCCCCUUAUCUCUCGCUCUCUGAUCCAUUUCUGGAUUUAUUUCUUAGUGUAAAAAUGACAGUGACAGUCACUUCAAUUCUAGUCUCCAUUGUUUAUGUUGCAGUGGUAAGAUGGGCAUGGAGAGUUUUGAACUGGGUUUGGUUUCGGCCGAAGAAGGUCGAGAGGUGCUUGAGACAACAAGGUUUUGCAGGCAAGCCUUACAGGCUUUUGUUCGGAGACUGGAAAGAAAGUUCAGAUAUGAUGAAAGAAGCAAGGACCAAACCCAUUGGUUUAUCAGACGCUCUUCUACCUCGUGUCAUGCCCUUCCUCCAUCAACUGGUCAAGGAUUAUGGUAUUUCAACACGCAACCCUUUAUUAUCUCUCUCGUAGAAAAGAUGAUUUUUCUUGCUAGUUAAAUAUUUCUCCGAUUUAUGAAGAAAUUCCUUUUGUUUCUAUAAGGCGCCAAUGAUUGAGAAAUUAAAACCAGUUGAUCAUGAUGAAUUUUAUUUAUGUCGAACAACUUUUGUUCACCGUUUCUCAGUAAAACUCUGUUAUCAUUGGUUUAUUUUAAUUGAUAAGAUAUUAUCUUUUACGAAUACAAAAACAAAUUAAUUUUCCAUUGGUAUCAUUGGGAAUCAGAACGCCAUGUUCCAUUGGUUAGUGCUGCACUGUGCUGGCCGAAUGUUUCAGCCGAUUUCUUAUUUUAUUUCAUUUUAUAGUGCUCUUGUGGACUACUCUCGCCUCAAACCUAGUUUUCUAUCAAUGGGAGAAAAAUAUAUAGAUUAAAUUAAUUACUUCUUAAUUAUAGUUUUAGAGAGUUAUAAUAUUUUUAAAACAGACCAAGUGGGUAUUAAUUUUCAAUAUUCAUGGUAUGCGUAUUUGAUCUCUUGGUAGUGUUGGUUUCCUACUGGACAGAACAGUACUAAUUACUAACAGUUGAAAACAUUGGUUUCCAAGUCAGUAUUGAACUUGUUAUUAGUUGGCUAGAGGUUGUAUAAAUAUAAAUAAAAGAACUUAGUAUUAUGUUUAUUUUUACGUUUCAAAAAUAUUCUUGAAAAAAAUUAAAAAUAUUUUUACGUUGGCUAGAGGUUGUUAUUAUUUUUAGUUACAAGAAUUUUACCUUAAAUUUUUUCUGGGUCUGGAUUUCUUUUGUUCAUAUCUCAAUUUGAGCCUCGUGCAUUUCCCUCAACAGAAGAAUAUAUAUAUAUAUAUAUAUAUAUAUAUAUAUAUAUAUAUUUGAUUAAUAAGUAUGCUUCCUCUGACGAUGCAGGUAAGAAUUCAUUUAUGUGGAUUGGGCCGAAACCAAGAGUGAACAUCAUGAACCCUGAUCAGAUAAGGGACGUAUUCAUGAAGAUAAAUGAAUAUAAGAAGCCCUCGCACCCGCUGUUGAAACUUAUAGUAUGUGGACUUGCAAGUCACGAGGGUGAAAAAUGGGCUAAACAUAGAAAGAUAAUCAACCCAGCAUUCCAUCAAGAGAAGCUAAAGGUGAUCAUGAUAGUCUCAACUUAUUUGCCUACAAGCGUCCAUGCUGUUCGAUUGCCUUGAAUGAGUAGCAUGCAUGUUGUGCUCUCAUAUAGCUGUAAUAUAGAACUUUCGAUGAUGAUAUGUUCUCUUUGCUUGUUACAGCUUAUGAUACCUGCGUUUUACGAAAGUUGUAGUGGGAUGAUUAACAAGUGGGAGAAGCUGGUCUCUGUAGACGAGGGGCCAUGUGAAUUGGAUGUCUGGCCUGAUCUUCAAGGCUUAACUUGUGAUGCUAUUUCUCGAACGUCGUUUGGAAGUAAUUACGAAGAAGGAAAAAGAAUAUUUGAUCUCCUCAAGGAACUUACCAAUCUUACAGCUCAUGUUAUAAUAAAAGCUAUUGUCAUACCAGGGUACAGGUAACUCUUUAUUCUGUUUUUGCUGGACAUUACAAUUCAGUUCCUUCAAGUUAGUCCUUGUUCAACGAGAUAUAUCUUAAAAGUAAGAAGCAGAACAAAUCCAAAUCUCUUGACAACAUGUUCAUGAAUUGCUUGUAGGUUUCUGCCGAUCCCAUCUAAUAGAAGGCUAAAAGCUAUUGACAAAGAAAUAAAAGCUUCUCUUAAUGCUCUCAUCAACAAAAGAGAGAAAGCAAUGAGUGCUGGUGAAGAUGCAAAGAAAGACUUGUUGGGUUUACUUCUGGAAUCCAAUUUUAGAGAAAUACAAGAGCAUGGAAAUACCAAGAGCGUCGGAAUGAGCAUUGAAGAUGUGAUUGACGAAUGUAAAAUAUUCUACUUUGCUGGACAAGAAACAACCUUAGUUCUUCUUACCUGGACCAUGAUUUUAUUGGCUCAGUAUCCGAAUUGGCAAGCACGCGCAAGAGAAGAGGUUGUGCAAGUCUUUGGUAACAAAAAACCAGAUUUCGAUGGGCUAAAUCACCUUAAAGUUGUGAGUAUUUCUCUGAAUUUGCAACUGAAUUCUUCUACAUCAAUAUUGUCUUAUUAUUGUUAAGAACACAGAGCAUUCUUGCAUUUAAAAUGCAAGCUUAAGUAUCCUUUGAAGAAAAAGUAAGAUAGCAGAAAAAAAAAGUUCAUGUUUUCUUUCGUUGAAUUAUUAAUCGGCCAAAAUGACGAGGAAAAGCAACCAACAGACGAGUACGCAAGCAAGCUAGGAGGUGACAUCUAUAUACAUUAAGAAUGAGAUUUACUAGUUCUUGGAUCAACAUAAAGAUUCUCAAUUUAGCAAGUUGAAAUGGCAUGCAAAUGAUCUCUAUAUAUGCGAUAUUUUAUUUUAUCUAAGUGGAUCGCAUGUCACCUUUCUCAUGGAUUCUUACCAUGUAGUACCAUUUUCUCUUUUGAUGCAUGUUACAGGUUACCAUGAUUUUGUAUGAAGUUCUUAGGUUAUACCCGCCAGUAAUUACGCUUAAUCGAGAUGUUCAUGAAGAAAUAAAGCUUGGAAAUUUGCUAUUACCUGCCGGAGUGCAGGUCUCGUUGCCAACAAUCCUCCUUCACCAAGACCAUGAACUAUGGGGUGAUGAUGCCUCUGAGUUCAAACCAGAGAGGUUUGCUGAAGGUGUUUCAAAGGCAACAAAGAGUCAAGUCUCAUUCCUUCCAUUUGGAUGGGGUCCUCGAAUAUGCGUUGGACAAAACUUUGCUUUGAUUGAAGCAAAAAUGGCUUUGGCAAUGGUUUUACAGCGCUACUCUUUUGAGCUCUCUCCGUCGUAUAUUCAUGCUCCUCGCACAGUCAUAACUCUUCAGCCACAGCACGGUGCUCCAAUGAUAUUACGUAAACUCUAAAAUGUUUAUAUGUGACGGAUAAGAGUUAUCCCAGGGUAUAAAAGUAGGUUGGAUCUCCCAAUAAACCAAACCAAAAAGAAAACCUCUAGUUUAUAAUAUGUGCAAAUUAUGUUAUAUUGUCCAAUGACAUAUUUGUCAUAUUAAUCACAACAUUAUAGUACCGUGGGUUGUUUUACUGUAAUCUUAGACACAGUUUACGAUAAAUUAAUAUAAUAAAAUUACAUAUUUGCAUAUGAGUGGAAAAAAAAAAGAGGAUGGGUGUUUUGAUCUUUUCUACUAGUUCAUUGAAUCUUUGGGGUGUUGAUUUUUUUUUUUUUAACAGUAAAAGAACUCUUUUACUCCUGGAAUCAACAAAAAUUAGAACUGUUGACUAAAGGUUUUUUUAAUUUUUUGAUUUUUUAUAAAUUUUUAGACAGCAAAAAUAUUUCUUUACCUUGAAAUCAAAAAUUGUUGGGUUAUUAGAUAAGGGUUUUUUUUGUUUUUCCAUUAUUCAUAUGUAGUAAAAGUAUAUUUUUGGCUCUAAGACAAAAAAUCAAGUUUGUAUUUAAGGCUAUUUUUGUAUUUUUAUACAGGUUUUUUUAAUAAUUAUCAAGGUCAUAAGAGUAUUUUAGUAUUUUUUUGAGUUUUUAAUUUUUUAAUCAGAAAAAUUGUUAGUAUGUUGUAAGUAUACGUGAACAAAUAGAUGACAUCUGUGCAUGUUAUUCAGGCAAUGAUGACAUUUCACCAUCUUCUUGGAUGUGCUUUUGUAAAAAGAUAUGCUAUUAUGUUCUCUCCCAUUUAAUGUGGUGUGUAAUGGCAUACAAUAUUAGUUUUUUUUUCUCUCUCUCCCACCAAGUGUUUAGGGUUAGAUAGCUAUUGUAAGAAAAUACAUGUAACUGAAUUGUCACUAGUUGGUUUUUUUCUCUCUCUUCUACCAAGAGUUCAGGGUUAGAUAGCUAGUGUAAGAAAAUACACAAUUAACCGAGCAUAAAAAGGAGUAAAGAAAAAGGGUAGUAACUGAAUAUAUGUAUAAUUAGCUGACAUCACAGCUCAAUGGCUUGGAAGAAAUAUAGAAUGAGUCUCCAGCAGCUUCUCUUCUGCAGAGCUUGUCUGAAAUGCAGAAAACAAUCCUGGCACCCAUAGAGGCUUGUAAAUUAUUGGUUUUUGAUCAACGAAUAACUUGUACAACAAGAUGUAUUGUACUAAUGAACCCGUUCGAGAUUGCACAGCACCAUUUCCUCGAGAGCUGGUUGAUAGGAUCCCCGAGGAAGACUUCUGAGAUUCUGAAUUGCAAGAUCAGCUCUCUCUUUUGCCAAUUCCUGUGCCCUUUCAAUGCCACCACAGUCCAUAACCAACUCAGUAGCUUCAUCAAGAGAAACACUCACACGGAACUCGGUCUCGAUUAUUUCUCUUAGUUUUGGUGAUUGCUCUAGAGCAAAUAUUACUGGAGCAGUCAGGUUCCCCUUUGCCAGGUCACUGCCAGCUGGCUUCCCCGGCAGCUCUGCUGACUGUGUAAAAUCUAAUAUGUCAUCCACAACUUGGAAGGAUAGACCAAGAUUCUUACCAUAUUCAUAGAUUAGAACGCAUACAUUACUGUCCACCCCACUAAAAAUAGCAGCUCCUUUGGUACUAGCAGCAAUUAAGGAGGCUGUCUUGUAGUAAGCUCAAGAUCACAGUCGAACAAGCUAGAUUCCUGCUCUAUUUCACCACUUGGAAAAUCCUUAAUAACCUGCCAUUGAGCGAGAAUAAUUGUAAAUCAACUUCAGUUACAAUUUUUUAAAAUUAGAUAAUAUAUAGCAUAGUGCAAAAACUCCAAGGUUAUAUCAGACACUGGACUAUAUAUACUCGGAUAUACAGAAUGGAGUUGCAGACCUACCGAGCUGAUAAGCUUAAUGAGUUCAAUAUUUUCAAGAUUCGCUAGGUACCAUGACGAUUGAGCAAACAUAAACUCCCCCAGCCAGUACUGCUACCCUUGUACCAUAGUGUUGAUGAACAGUUUCCUUCCCUGCAAAUUAGCAGCAGUGAACUGAAAGUCAGAGAAGGCCUUGCAGUAGGCCUGAAAUUAAAUUAGAAACAAAAAACAAAAUGAAAAUGCAAUAAAGUUAGUAAUAGAUAUUUCAGUUUAGCUACUCUACUUGAUGCGACAAGUAUGAGAUCCGAUGAUGGUGCGGUCAGUACCAGUGAUUAUGAUUACUUCUUAGUAUAUUUCCUUCAGUUUUUUAUCUCUGCUUAGGGAGCAAUUAUUUUAACAGUGAAAGUAGUGUAUUACAUCACUUUGGAUGUGCACAUUCAAGCUUAUCUCCAGUCAAUAGGCUCUAGCGUAGUGAUUUACAUUGAAAGAAGGCUUCAGCUAUCACUCAUCUAUGACAUACUGACUGAUAAGUAGUGAUGUGUGGCUUAAGAUCUCACUCAUCUAUGACAUACUCUCUGAUAAAGUGAUGUAUCUCUUCAGAUUCCCACAAGUUUAUAGGCUUUUAAGAAAGAAAGGAUACAUAUUUCAUUGGAUCUUCAUACAAUACAGUGCACAAGCCCAUUCAACCAAAGAUUUCUUCACAAUCCGUGCUUGGAAGAAUAAUAGAUAAAUUCAGUUGCCGUUCUAAAGGGAAAUAGGAUUCUAGGGCAAUGAACAAGUCCAAAUAAUCAAAGUUGGCUUCACGAUAAUCAUAAUUUUCAUCUCACAGAUAGGUUGACUAAUAUGCGAGCCUGUUGGACAUCCAUCUAUUAGAACCCUUCUCUUUUCAGCCUUGGACUGGUUCUGCAAAACUCUAAACAGGGCAAAUGGAAUUAAAACUUAUAAUCCUUGGAUACAUUUCAUGGAGAUUUUAUAUUUAAAUCUUUGCAUAUGUCUAGAAAUACUCAUUUAGAAAUUCUCCAAAUGAAGCUAAUGUAGGGAGCAGAACCAUGAUUUAUGUUCUAUGAAGUGAUCUUCUAGUUGUAGUAAGACAUGACCUUAUCCAAUACAGAUUAUAAUGCUGAUAACCGGAUUGAGUAUUCUUUCCAUCAAGCAAACUGUACAAGAAUAUCUGUAAGCAUAUUACAAUAACCAAAUAGAGGUUGUUGUCUGUUACCAUUCCACAGCUACAAAGACCUCAGCACUUUACAAAUACUAAGUACAGAGCAUGCAAACUGUAAGUGGGCGUUGGUGACUAACAUUAGAUCCUUGUACACUGUAAGUUUUAAAAUAACUUGGGUUUAUUCAAUAAGCAUAUGUUGGUGAAUGAUGCAGUGACAUUAAUGAGAUUUUUCAAGUUGCUUUGAUGUGAAAUUCAAAAUCCUACCUCUUCGCAUGCCACUUUCAUCCAAUAAAUCAUCAUGUAUUAAACUUGCAGUGUGGAUCAUCUCAAUAAUCUCCGCUAAACGCUGAUGUUCAGUUGUAAGAUCCCUGCAAAGCAGAAAUGCAAUAUACUUUUUCUAUUCCAUUCAGCACCAUAAAAAGCCCUUAAAAUACUGGAUAAAACUUCCUUCAACCCGACUACUUCCACCGUGGCUCUUGACAGUAGAAAGACCAGAGCUGGUCGCAUUCUCUUCCCACCAGCACCAAAUAUCUGCUCAGCUGCAGACAUCAAAACCAUAUUUUCUGCAGCAUCAAUCUACCAGGGCAUCUUCAUCAGAAAUAUAAAAAGCUGGAUAUAAAGAACAAGACAAACUAUUCUGAUCCAGUGCAAAAAGGUACAUGAUUCAUCAAUAUAGAGGGUAACAAAUAAUAGAAAACAAACAAGUAGAACAUGGAAGCAGGUAAAAGUUUUUAUGCAGUGGCCCUCUUUUGUGAACUCAUCUUGUGCCAAAAUAACCUUGUUUACUUGUACUAAAGUACAGAAUCAGUGCUCAAUUUAAAUUUUUACGCACUACCACUAUGCCAACUGAUAUCAACUCAGAACAUUUGUAGUGGUCUAUCAGCUAACCACUAGUUAAUAUAUUGGUAAAAGUUCAUUCUUCAUUGAUCUACUAGGACAUAUUCUACUACAAGCAAACAUUAACUAUUCAUCCUAACAUUCAGAUAAAUCAUAAUGCAUCUUUCAAUGGAAUGAAGAUGAAUGAGCAUGCACUUGAGCCAGGAACCAAAUUCUCAAGGAAGAGACUAAGGAAGAAGAGCUGAUUCCCAGCAAAAUAAAUUACAUACAAGGAUAACUACCACAGCCACAGACUAACACAACAAUUCAAGAUGGCAUUUUGAAGCAAAACCACAUUCGUAUUCCAAGAAUCAACGAAUCAUAAAACACCAUCAACUUACAUAAAGCACGAUAUGAAAAUUCAGCAUCUAUCAUUAUUGGCAUGGAAGAACUCAACAGUAUGCAAUAACUACGUCCUAGCAUAUGUCUAACUACACGAUAUCUAACAUGUAUUAACUACUCAACAACAAAUAUCUAAAAAGAGCACUCACAGACCGAAGAUUUUUCUUAAGAUUCAGAAGAUCAUCAGCAACCACUUCAAACAAAUUUGUUAAUGAAACUGGUUCUCUUGACUCUUUCUUCAAAUUCAGAAGUCCUGUGGGACCUUCAGCAACUCCUGUAUCAAGCCAAAAAUGAACAAAAAUACCAACAUUUCAGGCAUUACAACAUAUUACAUCAAUGGCAGGUGCUUUAUUGAUGGAGACCAAGCACUUAAAUGUUAUGUUUAGUAAAUGGAAUCACCAAAAUCUUAACGAAUUAGGAAAGCACUAAACUGUGGUCACUGAUAUUAUUUCUGUUGGAUACAGACACUAAACUGUAAUCUAACAAAUUCAAAUUGUUCCGUCGAAUACAAAUACAUUCAGCAUCAAUAAGACACGAAACUAAUACUCUAAGAUAUCCUAAAAAGCAAUUUUAAACAUAAAUACGAAAGGCAAAUACAACUACUAUCAAUACAAGGAAAAAACAUGAAUAUCAAAAACAGUUAGCAAAACAUAAAAUCCAAAUUAAAAUAAAAAGUGCAAAAAAAAAUGUACUUGCAAGUAAAGUCUAAGGGGUUUUUGUUGAAGAAACUCGACACCUAGCAAUAUCUCGCCGGCAACAAACCAUUCUCCUGAAACCAUAAUCUCUGUUACAACUCUUAGAAACUGACUUUGCAUAAUUCCUCACCGAAUACCUAUCUAUUGAAUCACUAGAGGAGAAGCUACAAGCCACCAAAUGAAGUUUAGCCCUUCCAAAAUCAAGAUUACGGCAAGUCAUUUACAUCAUUCUCAAUAGCAACACCCCAAGAAAGCUAAAAAGAAACAAUCAUUCGCUAUCCACUUAAAAUACCCAGAUAGAAAAUAUUGCUCAAUUUGCCAUAUAACUAACAGCCUUGAGAAACAAAUAGAGUAAUUUGAAAGUGUUGAAAGUGUUUUUUUUUAAUUAAUUUUAAUUAAUUUUUGUUUUAUUGUUUUUAAAUUAGUUUGAUGUUUUAUAUGAAUUUUAAAAAAUAAAAAAUAUAUUAUUUUAAUAUAUUUUUAAAUAAAAGUAAUUUGAAAAACAAAAUAAUUGGAGUGUUAAAAAUAUAGAGUAGAGAUUAUUUUAUAAAAUAUUUUUUAUUUAAAAAUACAUCAAAAUAUAUUAAACAAAUCCUUCAAAAUAACUCAUGAAAACCAAAACUAUCAUUUUGAUUACUAAACAACCGUUCAGUUUCUUUAUCUUGUGUUAUUUCUGUUAAUUUUUUUUAUUCUUUAAAUCUAGAGAUUAAAAUAUAAAUAAAUUAAUUUUUUAUAUCAAAAUUAAAAAUAUUAAACUAAAGGGACCAAAACAUAAAAAUAAAAAAAAUUCAAGCCCCUAAUUGUUAAAACCCGUUCUUCUUGUAUAGUAAAAAAAAAAAAAAACUUGCUUUUGUCUUUCGAGUUGGUCCCUAAAGAUUAAAUUAUUUUUAAACAAUAAAAUCAAAGUUUACUCUACCAAAUUGUGAAACAAUAGAGACCACACAAGAAAUCCUAAGUUAAUUGAAACAAAUAUUUUUUUUUUUCAAAUAUCACUAAACAUAAUAUUUAAGAAUAAAAUUAAAAAAAAAUAAUUACCAAAAAUUAUACAAAAAAAUCUUGAAGAACAUAAAAAUAAAAAAUAAAACUCACUGUUUCAAUCUACAAUAAAAUACUAAGCAGUUUUAGCCUUUUCUUAAUCUUAAGCUGAAUGUUUUCAAGGCACAUCAAGGCCUCUAACUUGUCUUCACAAAGUAGUUAGAUUCGGAUUACGAAAUAGAUGUAUAGGAGGACCUAACCUGGUGGUUCUUCUGAGUUCUGAUCCUGAAUCAAACAACACUUGCUGGUUGCUACUUUACAUCCGAAUUCCCACACUCUCGCGCACUUCUAUCAUAGUUUAUGUUUUGGGCUUUUGAGGUGUAAGUUUGCUGGGAGCUUGCAAUUCAAUUUUGGAUCCUUUAUCGGGAGAUCAGCAAUUAAAUGAGGCCUGACAAAAUUAGGCAAGAAUGUAUGUCAGACCAACUCUUCUGCUUCCUUGCAGCAAUAUAUUUCCAGCAGACAAGUUGCCAGGAAUUACUUCCUGGACCAAGGCUUAGGCAUAGAUGCAGUUGCUAUAGCCUGCAAAUUGACACAAAAUUGUCGUAAGCAUGACAUGAAAAUGUCUUCAUUGUUGCCAUGCAUCAUACAUGUAGUAGUCCUUACUUGGACCAGUCUUGACAAUGAGGCCAGAGUCCCUGAAAUCACAAUUCCAGCGGUUCCUUCCCUUACAUUGGUAGUACAGAUUCAUGGCUAUUGAUGCAUGGCUUAUGAGACUAUCUGGAGAAAAGCAAGGGUAACCCUUUUGUAGAAUCUGGCAAUCCACGUGAGAGCAUGCGUAAUUGAUAUUCGCUAGUAAAGUUGCUUGAUCCGACGAUGGCUUGGCCACACACCAAGUUUUCUGCAAUAUUAUUGUCAAAGCAAAUUUCUUGGAAUUAGGACAAUAUACAACCAAAAAUUUACCCAAUUUAAGUUGGAUUCGUUUACUUUCCAUCGUAUGAAGUUCUUAGGAUAUACCCGCCGGUAAUUAUGCUUAAUCGAGAUGUUCAUGAAGAAAUAAAGCUUGGAAAUUUGCUAUUACCUGCCGGAGUGCAGGUCUCGGUGCCAACAAUCCUCCUUCACCAAGAUCAUGAACUAUGGGGUGAUGAUGCCUCUGAGUUCAUACCAGGGAGGUUUGCUGAAGGUGUUUCAAAGGCAACAAAGAGUCAAGUCUCAUUCCUUCCAUUUGGAUGGGGUCCUCGAAUAUGCGUUGGACAGAACUUUGCUUUGAUUGAAGCAAAAAUGGCUUUGGCAAUGAUUUUACAGCGCUGCUCUUUUGACCUCUCUCCGUCGUAUAUUCAUGCUCCUCGCACAGUCGUAACUCAUAACUCUUCCUCCAAUGAUAUUACGUAAACUCUAAAAUGUUUAUAUGUGACGGGUAAGAGUUAUCCCAG